GGGAGGGGAGGUUUUCCUUUUUCCUUCUUUUUUUCUUUUCCCUAAUCCCUUUUCUCCUUUAUACAAAUAUUCAUUUAUACUUUCUAGGUGCCAAAAUGAAAUGCUAUGUGUGAGCUGCUACUAGCAAUCAUGGUUUAUGCGUAUGAGAAAUGAAAUGGUUAUGAGAUUAGGCUUUUAAGAGAAAGAAUAAAAAGGGGGGGGGUUAGGAGUUUAAGGCUUCUAACCUUCAAACCAAAAACUAGGAUGCUACAAGGAUCGAUGGACAAAGUCGAUAGUGAACUCAUUGAGUUCUGCAACCCAUUUCAAACCCUUCCUGUGCCUUAUCUAUUUCUUAUAAUAUCUUUUAAGGGUUGAUAUGAAGGUACUAUUAUAUGAUGAGACUGGAAAUAAUACCGAAGCUUUCUAGAGGCCAUCAACACGGCAUAUAGUAUCUUCUCCAAUUCUGUAUAAUUUCUCUUUAACGGGCUCAAGACUUUGGAGGCCAAGUAAACUGGGACUUGUUUCUUUGUCUGUCCAUCUUGCUUUUCUUGGACCUAUGCUGCAUUGAUAGCAUAAUGUGAGGCAGCUACAUACAACAACAAUGGAGCUUAUAAUGAAGGUGGGGAAGGUUGUCAGCUAUAUAAGGUACUGCUUCAAGUCAUCGAAAGCUUUCUGCUGAAUUGGUCCUCAUUGGAAGACUACGACUGAUUUUAACACUUCAAAGAACGAUAGCUUUCUUUCUGCCGACCUUGAGAUGAAUCUAUUCAAUGAUGCAAGUCUUUCUGUCAAUCUCUGAGCACCCUUUCUUGACUUUGGCGGCUCCAUCCGAUGUAUGGCUUCUAUUUUACUCGGGUUAGCUUCGAUUCCUUUGGUUGACACCAGACAUCUAGGGAAUUUGCCCUUCUUUACUCCAAAGAUACAUUUUUCUAGAUUCAAUUUGAGGCCUAUUUUCCUGAAGUUAGCAAAUGUUUCUUGUAAAUCCACAAUGUGAUUUUCUUGCUUCGUACUCUUGACUAUGAUGUCAUCAACAUAUGUCAACACAUUUCUGCCAAUUUGAGUACUCAGCACCUUGGUCGUCAUUCUGCUGAAGCUUCCUCCAGCAUUCUUGAGCCCCUCAGGCAUCCGAAGAUAGCAAUAUGUACCACUGAGGGUUAUGAACCUUGUCUUGGGUUCAUCUUCCUUCUUCAUCCAAAUCUGAUGAUAGGCUGAUUAGCAAUCCAACAGGCUCAUGAGUUUUGAAGUGGCUGCCGCAUCUAUAAGGGAGUCUAUCCUGGGCAAAGGAAACUCAUACUUCGGGCAUGCCUUGUUAAGAUAUGUGAAAUCAAUACACAUUCUAUAUCUCCCGUUGGCCUUUUUUACCAUUACAGUAUUGGCUAACCAUUUUGGGUAUGUUACUUCUCUGAUUACUCCAGCACUUUGAAGCCUUUUAACUUCGUUCCUUGCUCCUUCAACUUUAUCAUCUGACAUUUUCCGAAGCUUCUGCUUUCUUGGUCUGAUAGUGGGAUCUACAUUGAGAGAAUGUUCAAUAAUGUCUCUAUUGACACCACAGAUCAUUGGCUAACCAGGCAAAGACAUCUCUGUUGUUGAACAAGAAUUUUGUUAGAGUCUUUUCUUGCUCCUCCGUUAACUGGGAUCCAAACACCACCUUUUGUUCAGCUAUAUAUUCACACAAGAGCAUAGACUUUGGCUGGUCUGCUAAAGCUGCUUUAUCUCUUAUAUGCUUGUGUUGCUAGUGGGCUUCACCUUCGUCUAUAUUGUGGAUAGCUUUGGAGACUGUCCAAUUUCCUUAAGCUCUUCUAGCAGCCUCUUGGCUUCCAUGCACAACAAUUAGGACCUGGUUCGAUGAUAUUUUCAUGCACAAGUAUGCUGGGUGUAGCACUGCUUUGAAGGCAUUCAAUGUUCCUUUUCCAAUGAUUGCAUUGUAAGGAUACUCUAUGUCUACAAUAUCAAAUACAACUUGCUCAGUUCUGGUGUUGUGUAUGUAGCCGAAGAUAAUUGGCAUUGUUAUCUUUCCGAGUGCUGCUAUCUAUUUUCCUCCGAAGCCACACAGAGGAUGUGUUGCAUCAUGUAUUUGAUCCUCUUGUUCUUGCAUUUGCCUGAAAGCCUUUGCAAAGAUGAUGUCUGUUGCACUGCCUGUAUCCACUAGAACAUUGUGUACCAUAAAUCCUUUUAUGACACAAGAUAUGAGUAUGGCAUCAUUAUGAGGAUAGUCCUUGAGCUGAAGAUCAUCUUGAGAGAAAGUGAUUGGGACAUGAGACCAUUUGGAUUUGAUGUAGUGUCCUUGUACUCCAACAUGUUGUACCCUUCUUUGGGCCUCCUUCUGCUUCUUGUUGGUUAGCUCAAAGCUUGAACCGCCUAUGAUGGGAAGAACGAGCUUCGUCGCCGCAGAUGACGAAGCUUGAUGACUUAGCGAAGCCAUUGUUGUAGUCAUGGAAGUGAGUUCACCGGAGGUGGGCACCAAUGUUGGUUACUUGUUCUUGAUUGAUGUGAAUAAAAAACAAGACAACACAUAUAUUAAAUAUUAAGGACCUUCGUCCUUCAAAGCAUUAUCUUCUUUUAGAGAUAAUAUUUCUUGGACGAAGGUGAUGAAGAUCGGGUCUUCAUCUUUCAUAAAGAUAAUAUUACAAUGUAAUAUCAUAUCAAGUAUUCAUUUUAUUUGACAUGUUAAAGUAAUGUUGUAAUCUGGAUUACAUGCUAAUAAAACAUUUCAAGCGUUACAUUACAUUGGUACCUUCGGCUUGCACAAAAGAGGGAGAAUGUGAGAAUGACUUUCAAUGAAAGCGUGAACAAUAUGGGGGUAUUGUUCAUCUAUUUAUAGGCAUGGGACGCAGCCCAAAUAAAAGUACAAUUAUGAUCCUAAUGCCUAUACAUUGUUCUAAUACAUACCAAGGAUAAAUGGGUCUUUUUACUGUUGAUCUAGUUUCUUGUAUAACCUUCGGGAUCACCUUAAGAAGAAGCUCUAAUUCUUGUCGAGGCUCUGAUGUAUCCUUUGCGUAUCUGCUAUAACUUCGCCAUUCAGUGGGGGCUCAUGUAUAGUGUCAGGCUGAUCAACAAAUAAUGGUUAAGCCAAAGCAUUGCUUUUAAUACGUUGGUCAAGUUUUAUUAGCAGUUACUAAGUACUAGUGUAUACCAACCCAAUAAAAUAGAAGAUCAUUAAUAUAAUAAAACCCACAAUGCAAUGCAUAUGACAAAUUAAGUUUAAUUUCACAAGUUACUCAUGUGAGGGUCCGAGCCGCUCAUGACCGUGAGCAUGGGUGAUAUACUAGUUUUACACUCUGCAGAGGUUGCACAUCUUUACCCACAAGUUGUGUUACCCAUUUGCCAAGGGAUCACGACUUCCCAUUCAUCUCUGCCGAGGAGACGAGGCAUGGUAGCACUACGAGGCCUUUACAAAGUUCCACUAGCUUUAGAAAACCCACUACGGUUUCUGAGGAGAGCGAUAUAGGAAUCCCCCGUCUGAUAAGCCAUCGCAGCAUGAUCAACCAGAGAACCUCCCUAUACCGACAAAUCCCCUACCGCCCUUGCCCCUUCGGGUAAGGUAGUCCACUACCUUUACUAAUUAGUCAUCCAACGAUGUCCCAUACCACCCUUGUGGUAGCACUGUUUUCCCGAGUGGUUCUCCAUGUUCUAGUUAACACAAUAGCCUUAUCAUGAACAAUAAAUAAUUCAAUAACAAUAAAUAGCAUGAUCAUGAUUAAUAUGUAUCAUAACACACAAAACCAGAUAGAGCAAUAGCAAAUGAUACCCAAAAGUUUAGUGGUAAGCAAGGUGUACGGUAAACCAAACUAGGGUGUAACACCCUGAAUUUUGAGUAUAAAAAAUUCUUUGCUCUUUACUCAUAAUUUAGGUGUUAUCCUUUCCUUUAUUCACUUUUCUUUUCCCUUUAUCAAAACACUAGAUAGUUAUUUUGGUUCUAUGUUGGCAUGAACUCUAGAAGUGUCAUGAUUGUUGCAUUCAUAAUGUUGCAUAAUGUUUCUAAGUGCAAGAAGUGUUUGAAUCAUGUUAAUAUAUCUUGUAUAAGUCUUCCACGAAAUUUCAUAUUUUCCUGAAUAUUUUUUCUAAUUUUCGAAAUUCAAAACCUAUUUAUUUGAGAUACUUAAAAAUAUUUUCAAAAGUUCUAAAUAUGUUUUUGAGUUCGUUGGGUGCCAAAUCAUGUCUAGCAAUUUUCCUAUAAUUUUUGGAGCCUUCGAGAUAUUUUUCGGAUAUUAAAAACGAUUUCAGUUUUUUCCUAAAUUACUUUUAAUUUUAAAAAUGGGAUAAUUACGAAAACUAAAAUAUAUUCAAACCUAGCAAUAUAUAUGGCUAGAAUCGACUCGUCGAGCCCAUUCUGAAAAUCGAAACCCCAUCCUCAGUCUAGAUCCGAAACCCCCGGAAUCGCUCACCGAAGAUCGGGACGAUUCUAACUCCGGCGAGCAAUUACUUUCGAUCCAUGCGUCAUUGGCGGAAUCUGAGGGUACCGCUACGUGUGUCUCGUCAAGAGCUUCGUCCCGGUGCUUUCGAUUUGUCGAUCCGACCUCCGGUCCGUCGUCAAUCGACGGAUUUCUCCUCGGCUCCGGCGAACUUCGUCUUCUCCGGUGGGCCUCCACCAUUGUUGUCAUUGUGUUCUUCAUUUUCUCAUCAGGACAGAAUGAGAGAGUUCCUAAGGCUUAAGCCUCUCACAUUCGCCGGAUCUAGCAACCCGCUCGAUGCUGAUGACUGGCUGCGCACAGUAAAGAGGAAGUUAGAGACCAUUGGAUGUCCUGAAAACCAGCGUGUUCACCUAGCUGCUCAUUAGCUCUCCGGGAUGGCCCUAUCCUGGUGGGAUACUUUUAGCGCUGCCGUAAGGGAUGCUACCUGGGUAGAAUUUGAAGCCGCUUUCUGAGAGCACCAUAUGCCUUUGGGAAUCGUCCAGCUCAAGGAAGAGGAAUUUCAGGAGUUAACUCAAGGAGGGCGAUCCGUCAGUGAAUACAUCCACAAAUUCACAGAAUUGGCUCGCUAUGCACCUGAUGAUGUCAGCACGGAAGCCAAGAAGAUGGCCCGUUUCUUGAAGGGGUUAAGACCAGAACUCAAGACCAACCUCACCAGCCAAGACUUCCUCAGUUUCUCGCACCUCUCGAACAAGGCCAUCCAGGUGGAAAGAGCACGAGAAGAAGAAAAAGGUCACCUCAAGAGAAAGUUUCAAGUUCUCCGAGCUCAGCAGCAGGACAGGCACCAGAGGGUUCGAUCUUUUGGGUUCCCUUCCAAAGGGUCGAACUUUAGCAAACCAGUAGGAUCCGCUCCGUCACAUCUCAACCAGCCUGGUCAAAAUUCCUUCCACACCCAAUCUGUUGCAAGUAGCCAACCUCCAACCAAUGCUUGUUGGCACUGUGGAGACCCCAGUCACUUCAAGAAUAAUUGUCCACAGUUGAAGACAUCUGUACCUGCCUACUCCAACUUGGUGAAUGGCCCCAAGAAUGUUUCAGCACCCGCCUCCAAAGCACCCUCCACCAACAGCCAGCUAAGCAAGACCUAGUUUCACGGCAGGGCUCGAGUGAACCACGUCGACGCCCAAGAAGCUCAGCAAGCCCCUGGAGUAGUGCUUGGUGAGUUCCUAGUCGAAUUUACCCCCACUGUUGUACUUUUUGAUUCUACAGCAUCCCAUUCUUUCAUCUCCACUAGUUUUGUGGAAAAGCAUGGCAUCUGAGAGCACCUAGAGGGGGGGGGGGUGAAUAGGUGAUCCUGUAAAAGUUCAAAACUUAAGCCACAAAAACUUGUUAAGGGUUAGCACAAGUAUGACCAAGUGGCUAGAGAGAACUCAAAACAAGAUAACCACAAGAAAGCAAUCACAGAGUUGACACGGUGGUUAUCCCGUGGUUCGGCCAAGUACAAAACUUGCCUACUCCACGUUGUGGCGUCCCAACGGACGAGAGUUGCACUCAACUCCUCUCAAGUGAUCCAAUGAUCAACUUGAAUACCACGGUGUUUUUCUUUCCUUUGAUCUUUUCCCGUUUGCGAGGAAUCUCCACAACUUGGAGUCUCUCGCCCUUACAAUUGAGUUCACAAAGAAAUACGGAGUAAGGUGGGAAUGAGCAACGCACACAAGACUCGAAAAUCAGAGCAACAACACGCACACAAGUCGCAACAAGAGCUCGCAACGCAACACAAAGAGUUCACAACUCCACAAGAGCUCUAUAUGCUAUCACAAUGAAACGAAUGCGUGAGAUUGAUGUCUUGGUGCUUAGAAGAGUUGUAGGAAUGCUUGGUAUGCUCCUCCAUGCGCCUAGGGGUCCCUUUUAUAGCCCCAAGGCAGCUAGGAGCCGUUGAGAGCACAUCUGGAAGGCUAUCCUUGCCUUCUGUCGUCGGGCGCACCGGACAGUCCGGUGCACACCGGACACUGUCCGGUGCCCGAUUUCUUUCCUUAACAGGCGCAGCCGACCGUUGCCGACCACUGCAGAUCUGGCGCACCGGACAGUCCGAUGCACACCGGACAGUCCGGUGCUUCCUUCCGACCGUUGGCUCGGCCACGUGUCGCGCGCCGAUCGCGCGGCCGACCGUUGGCCCGGCCGACCGUUGGCUCACCGGACAGUCCGGUGCACACCGGACAGUCCGGUGAAUUUUAGCCGAAGUCGCCGGAGAAAAACCCGAGAGCGGCCUCUUCGGCCGAGGCAGCCUGGCGCACCGGACACUGUCCGGUGCACCACCGGACACUGUCCGGUGCACCACCGGACAGUCCGGUGCCCCAGACCGAAGCAGCCCCUUGGCUGUACACAGCCAAGUCUUCUCUUCUCUUCUUCUAUCUGUUUCUAACACUUAGACAAAUAUAUUAGUACACAAAACCAAUGUACUAAGGCUUAGAAACAUACCUUAACUUGUGAUUUGCACUUUGAUCAUCCUUGGGCAUAUUUUCACAUUUAAGCACUUGUGUUUGCACUCAAUCACCAAAAUACUUAGAAAUGGCCCAAAGGCACAUUUCCCUUUCAAUCUCCCCCUUUUUGGUGAUUUAUGCCAACACAAUAUAAAGCAACUAGAACAAGUGCAAAAUCACUUUAAAUAAAAACUCAAAUUGGUUUUAUUCAAUUUUGGCAUAUAUGGAUCAUCCUUUGCCACCACUUGGUUUGUUUUUGCAAAUCAAACUCAAAUCUCUAUCUCUAAGUCAAACACACAUGUUGAAGUAUAAAGAGAGUCAUUCCAAAAGAGAUUGAUCAAAGAUUUCAAAAACUCCCCCUAUUUCCCAUAAUCAAUACUUCUCCCCACAAGAAGCCAACUUUUGACAAGAGAGACAAUAAAAGCUUUUGACACAACAAAAACUCUAUUCUACUAUUUUCAAAAUCUCUCAAGUGGUAGCUGAUCCAUUUAUCGCUUUGGCCUUUAUUUUCUCCCCCUUUGGCAUCAAGCACCAAAACGGGAUCAAUCUUGGCCUCUUUAAUCUCAUUGCCUCACCAAAGUCUUCAAAUAAGAUUUCAUGAGAUGAACUUGGAAUUAGUUACCCUCUCAUCGGAGUGCAGUGGAAGUCUUUCAUAGUCCAAGUCCACCUUUUCCCUUUCAAUCCUCCUUUGAGACUCAAUCAAGCAAACUCAAGCAAAUGGUUAGUCUCAAAGGGUCAAGUUGUAACACAUCUCCCCCUAAACAUGUGCAUCACUUUGCAACGGACUUGUGAGGUCCAGGGAGUGUUUGUACAACUUGAGCACCAUAAUAAGCAACAAAAUGCAAAAAGGAACAUGAUCAAAAGCAUAAGUACAUGUAUGCUACAAUUCAAUCCAGGUUCCGCGAAUCUAUGACAUUUAGCUCACUACGCAACCUGCAAAAGGUCUUCUCAUCUAGAGGCUUAGUGAAGAUAUCGGCUAGCUGGUUCUCGGUGCUAACAUGAAACACUUCGAUAUCUCCCUUUUGCUGGUGGUCUCUCAAAAAGUGAUGCCGGAUGUCUAUGUGCUUUGUGCGGCUGUGCUCAACAGGAUUCUCCGCCAUGCGGAUAGCACUCUCAUUGUCACAUAGGAGUGGGACUUUGCUCAGAUUGUAGCCAAAGUCCCGGAGGGUUUGCCUCAUCCAAAGUAGUUGCGCGCAACACUGUCCUGCGGCAACAUACUCGGCCUCAGCGGUGGAUAGGGCAACGGAUGUUUGUUUCUUAGAGUUCCAUGACACCAGGGACCUUCCUAAGAAUUGGCACGUCCCCGAUGUACUCUUCCUAUCGACCUUACAUCCAGCAUAGUCGGAGUCUGAGUAUCCAACUAAGUCAAAGGUAGACCCUUUUGGAUACCAGAGCCCGAAGCAAGGCGUAGCAACCAAAUAUCUAAGAAUUCGCUUCACCGCCACUAAGUGACACUCCUUAGGAUCGGAUUGAAAUCUAGCACACAUGCAUACGCUAAGCAUAAUAUCCGGUCUACUAGCACAUAAAUAAAGCAAAGAACCUAUCAUUGACCGGUAUGCUUUUUGAUCAACGGACUUACCUCCUUUGUUGAGGUCGGUGUGUCCGUCGGUCCCCAUCGGAGUCUUGGCGGGCUUGGCGUCCUUCAUCCCAAACCGCUUUAGCAGAUCUUGCGUGUACUUCGUUUGGGAGAGGAAGGUGCCGUCCUUGAGUUGUUUCACUUGGAACCCAAGGAAGUAGUUCAACUCGCCCAUCAUUGACAUUUCGAAUUUCUGCGUCAUCACCCUGCUAAACUCUUCACAAGACUUUUGGUUAGUAGAACCAAAUAUUAUGUCAUCGACAUAAAUUUGGCACACAAACAAAUCACCAUCACAUGUCUUUGUAAAAAGAGUUGGAUCGGCCUUCCCAACCUUGAAAGCAUUAGCAAGUAAAAAGUCUCUAAGGCAUUCAUACCAUGCUCUUGGGGCUUGCUUAAGUCCAUAGAGCGCCUUAGAGAGCUUACACACAUGGUCGGGGAACCGUUCAUCCUCGAAGCCAGGGGGUUGCUCCACGUACACUUCCUCCUUGAUUGGCCCGUUGAGAAAAGCGCUCUUCACAUCCAUUUGGUACAACCUGAAAGAAUGGUGAGCGGCAUAUGCUAGCAAGAUUCGAAUUGACUCUAGCCUAGCCACAGGAGCAAAAGUCUCCUCGAAAUCCAAACCUGCGACUUGGGCAUAACCUUUUGCCACAAGUCGAGCCUUGUUUCUCGUCACCACCCCGUGCUCGUCCUGUUUGUUGCGGAACACCCACUUGGUUCCCACAACAUUUUGCUUCGGACGAGGCACCAGUGUCCAAACUUCAUUGCGUUUGAAGUUGUUUAACUCCUCUUGCAUGGCCAACACCCAGUCCGGAUCUAGCAAGGCCUCUUCUACCCUGAAAGGCUCAAUAGAAGAGACAAAGGAGUAAUGCUCACAAAAAUUAACUAAUCGAGAUCGAGUAGUUACUCCCUUGCUAAUGUCACCCAGAAUUUGGUCGACGGGAUGAUCCCUUUGAAUCAUCGCUCGAACUUGGGUUGGAGGUGCCGGUUGCACUUCUUCCUCCAUCACAUGAUUAUCUUGUGCUCCCCCUUGAUCACAUGCCUCCUGUUGAUGAACCUGUUCAUCGUCUUGAGUUGGGGGUAGCACCAUGGUCGAGGAAGAAGGUUGAUGUCGUUUAUCUUGUUCCUGUGGCCGUACUUCUCCAAUCGCCAUGGUUCGUAUAGCGGCUGUCGGAACAUCUUCUUCAUCUACAUCAUCAUAAUCAACAACUUGCUCUCUUGGAGAGCCAUUAGUCUCAUCAAAUACAACGUCUCUAGAGACUUCAACCAAACCCGAUGAUUUGUUGAAGACUCUAUACGCCUUUGUAUUUGAGUCAUAACCUAAUAAAAACCCUUCUACAGCUUUGGGAGCAAACUUAGAAUUUCUACCCUUCUUCACUAGAAUGUAGCAUUUACUCCCAAAUACACGAAAGUACGAUACAUUGGGUUUGUUACCGGUUAGAAGCUCAUACGACGUCUUCUUGAGGAGGCGAUGAAGGUAGACCCUGUUGAUGGCGUGGCAAGCCGUGUUCACGGCUUCCGACCAAAAAUGCUCGGGGGUCUUGAACUCUCCUAGCAUCGUCCUCGCCAUAUCGAUGAGCGUCCUGUUCUUCCUCUCUACCACACCAUUUUGCUGUGGUGUGUAGGGAGCGGAGAACUCGUGCUUGAUCCCUUCUUCUUCAAGGAACUCCUCCACUUGAAGGUUCUUGAACUCAGAUCCGUUGUCGCUCCUUAUCUUCUUCACUUUGAGCUCAAACUCAUUUUGAGCUCUCCUGAGGAAGCGUUUGAGGGUCCCUUGGGUUUCGGACUUUUCCUGCAAAAAGAACACCCAAGUGAAGCGGGAAAAGUCAUCAACAAUAACUAGACCAUACUUACUCCCUCCUAUGCUUAGAUAGGCGACGGGUCCGAAGAGGUCCAUAUGCAGCAGCUCCAGGGGUCUUGAAGUGGUCAUCACGUUCUUGCCGUGAUGCGUUCCUCCCACUUGUUUACCUGCUUGACAAGCUGCACAAGGUCUAUCUUUUUCGAAAUGCACGUUAGUCAAACCUAUCACGUGUUCUCCCUUUAGAAGCUUUUGAAGGUUCUUCAUCCCCACAUGUGCUAAGCGGCGAUGCCACAGCCAGCCCAUGCUAGUCUUAGCUAUUAAGCAUGCAUCUAGACCGGCCUCUUCUUUUGCAAAAUCAACUAAAUAAAGUUUGCCGUCUAAUACACCCUUAAAAGCUAGUGAACCAUCACUUCUUCUAAAGACAGACAUAUCUACAUUUGUAAAUAGACAAUUAUACCCCAUAUGACAUAAUUGACUCACAGAUAGCAGAUUAUAUCCAAGAGACUCAACUAAAAACACAUUAGAUAUGGAGUGCUCAUUAGAAAUUGCAAUUUUACCUAAACCUUUUACCUUGCCUUGAUUCCCAUCACCGAAUAUAAUUGAAUCUUGGGAAUCUUUAUUCUUGACGUAGGAGGUGAACAUCUUCUUCUCCCCCGUCAUAUGGUUUGUGCAUCCGCUGUCGAUAAUCCAGCUUGAACCCCCGGAUGCAUAAACCUGCAAGGCAAAUUUAGGCUUGGGACUUAGGUACCCAACUCUUGUUGGGUCCUACAAGGUUAGUCACAAUUUCCUUAGGGACCCAAAUGCAAGUUUUAUCACCUUUGCAUUUUGCCCCUAACUUCCUAGCAAUUACUUUUCUAUCCUUUCUACAAAUUGCAAAUGAAGUAUUCAAAGCACAAUAAAUUGUAGAAGGUUCAUUCACUACUUUCCUAGGAGCAUGAAUAACAUUCUUUCUAGGCACAUGAUGAAUAGCAUUUCUCCUAGACAUAUUUCUACCAUGCAUAACAUGAGAACUAGAAGCAGUCAUAGCAUAAGAGUCAUAAGCAUGUGAAUCAAACACAUCAUGACCUCUAAAAGCAUUUCUAGAAUAUCUCCUAUCAUAGUACAUAAAAGCAUGGUUCUUUUGCACAUUACUAACCAUAGGGGCCUUCCCUUUCUCCUUGGCGAGAAUGGGAGCCUUAUGGCUUGUUAAGUUCUUAGCUUCUCUCUUGAAGCCAAGUCCAUCCUUAAUUGAGGGGUGUCUGCCAAUUGUGUAGGCAUCCCUUGCAAAUUUUAGCUUAUCAAAAUCAUUCUUGCUAGUCUUAAGUUGAGCAUUAAGACUAGCCAGUUCAUCAUUAAGCUUGGAAAUUGAAACUAGGUGUUCACUACAAGCAUCAAUGUCAAAAUCUUUACACCUAGUACAAAUUUCAACAUGUUCUACACAAGAAUUGGAUUUAUUUGCUACUUCUAAUUUAGCAUUUAAAUCAUUGUUGACACCUUUCAAAGUAGAAAUGGUUUCAUGACAAGUAGAUAGUUCAAAAGAAAGCAUUUCAUUUCUUUUAACUUCUAAAGUAUAGGAUUUUUGUGCCUCAACAAAUUUAUCAUGCUCUUCAUACAACAAAUCCUCUUGCUUUUCUAAAAGUAUAUUCUUUUCAUUCAAGGCAUCAAUUAAUUCAUUAAUUUUGUCUAUCUUAGAUCUAUCUAAGCCCUUGAACAAACAUGAAUAAUCUACUUCAUCCUCAUCACUAGAUUCGUCCUCACUUGAAGAAGCAUAGGUAGAGUUGCGAGUACAUACCUUCUUCUCCCUUGCCAUAAGGCAUGUGUGACGCUCGUUGGGGAAGAGGGUUGAUUUGUUGAAGGCGGUGGCGGCGAGUCCUUCAUUGUCGGAGUCGGACGAGGAGCAAUCCGAGUCCCACUCCUUGCCUAGAUGCGCCUCGCCCUUUGCCUUCUUGUAAUGCUUCUUCUUUUCCCUCUUGUUUCCCUUUUCCUGGUCACUAUCAUUAUCGGGACAGUUAGCAAUAAAAUGACCAAGCUUACCGCAUUUGAAGCAUGAUCGCUUCCCCUUGGUCUUAGUCUUGCUCGGCUGUCCAUUGCGACCCUUUAGCACCGUCUUGAAUCUCUUGAUAAUGAGGGCCAUUUCUUCUUCAUUAAGACCGGCCGCCUCAAUUUGCGCCACCUUGCUGGGUAGCGCCUCCUUGUUCCCUGUGGCUUUGAGAGCAAAAGGUUGCGGCUCGUUGAUCGGUCCAUUCAAGGCGUCGUCCACAUACCUUGCCUCCUUGAUCAUCAUUCGCCCGCUGACGAAUUUUCCUAGGACUUCUUCGGGCGACAUUUUGGUGUACCUGGGAUUCUCACGAAUAUUAUUCACCAGAUGAGGAUCAAGAACGGUAAAGGACCUGAGCAUUAGUCGGACGACGUCGUGGUCCGUCCAUCGCGUGCUUCCGUAGCUCCUUAUUUUGUUGAUAAGGGUCUUGAGCCGGUUGUAUGUCUGAGUUGGCUCCUCGCCCCUUAUCAUCGCGAACCGUCCAAGCUCGCCCUCCACCAACUCCAUUUUGGUGAGCAAGGUAGCGUCAUUUCCCUCAUGAGAGAUCUUGAGGGUAUCCCAGAUUUGCUUGGCGUUAUCCAAGCCACUCACUUUAUUAUAUUCAUCCCUGCACAAUGAGGCUAGAAGAACAGUAGUAGCUUGUGCAUUCUUAUGGAUUUGCUCAUUAAUGAAUAUAGGACUAUCCGAACUAUUAAAGUGCAUUCCACUAUCUACAAUCUCCCAUAUGCUAGGAUGGAGAGAGAAUAGGUGACUACGCAUUUUGUGGCUCCAAAAUCCGUAGUCCUCCCCAUCAAAGUGUGGGGGCUUGCCGAGUGGAAUAGAAAGCAAAUGUGAAUUUGAACUUUGCGGAAUACGAGAGUAGUCAAAAGAAAAGUUAGAAUUAACCGGUUUCCUUUGUCUGUCGUGGUCGUCGUCCUUUUGGGAAGAAGAGGACUCAUCGCUGUCGUAGUAGACGAUCUCCUUGAUGCGUCUUGUCUUCUUCUUCUUCCCAUCUCUUCGCUUGUGGCCCGAGCCCGAGUCAUUGGACUUGUCAUCCCUUGGCUCGUUGACGAAGGACUCCUUCUCCUUGUCGUUGAUCACAAUUCCCUUCCCCUUAGGAUCCAUCUCUUCGGGCGGUUAGUCCCUUUCUUGAAGAGAACGGCUCCGAUACCAAUUGAGAGCACCUAGAGGGGGGGGUGAAUAGGUGAUCCUGUAAAAGUUCAAAACUUAAGCCACAAAAACUUGUUAAGGGUUAGCACAAGUAUGACCAAGUGGCUAGAGAGAACUCAAAACAAGAUAACCACAAGAAAGCAAUCACAGAGUUGACACGGUGGUUAUCCCGUGGUUCGGCCAAGUACAAAACUUGCCUACUCCACGUUGUGGCGUCCCAACGGACGAGAGUUGCACUCAACUCCUCUCAAGUGAUCCAAUGAUCAACUUGAAUACCACGGUGUUUUUCUUUCCUUUGAUCUUUUCCUGUUUGCGAGGAAUCUCCACAACUUGGAGUCUCUCGCCCUUACAAUUGAGUUCACAAAGAAAUACGGAGUAAGGUGGGAAUGAGCAACGCACACAAGACUCGAAAAUCAGAGCAACAACACGCACACAAGUCGCAACAAGAGCUCGCAACGCAACACAAAGAGUUCACAACUCCACAAGAGCUCUAUAUGCUAUCACAAUGAAACGAAUGCGUGAGAUUGAUGUCUUGGUGCUUAGAAGAGUUGUAGGAAUGCUUGGUAUGCUCCUCCAUGCGCCUAGGGGUCCCUUUUAUAGCCCCAAGGCAGCUAGGAGCCGUUGAGAGCACAUCUGGAAGGCUAUCCUUGCCUUCUGUCGUCGGGCGCACCGGACAGUCCGGUGCACACCGGACACUGUCCGGUGCCCGAUUUCUUUCCUUAACAGGCGCAGCCGACCGUUGCCGACCACUGCAGAUCUGGCGCACCGGACAGUCCGAUGCACACCGGACAGUCCGGUGCUUCCUUCCGACCGUUGGCUCGGCCACGUGUCGCGCGCCGAUCGCGCGGCCGACCGUUGGCUCACCGGACAGUCCGGUGCACACCGGACAGUCCGGUGCACACCGGACAGUCCGGUGCACACCGGACAGUCCGGUGAAUUUUAGCCGAAGUCGCCGGAGAAAAACCCGAGAGCGGCCUCUUCGGCCGAGGCAGCCUGGCGCACCGGACACUGUCCGGUGCACCACCGGACACUGUCCGGUGCACCACCGGACAGUCCGGUGCCCCAGACCGAAGCAGCCCCUUGGCUGUACACAGCCAAGUCUUCUCUUCUCUUCUUCUAUCUGUUUCUAACACUUAGACAAAUAUAUUAGUACACAAAACCAAUGUACUAAGGCUUAGAAACAUACCUUAACUUGUGAUUUGCACUUUGAUCAUCCUUGGGCAUAUUUUCACAUUUAAGCACUUGUGUUUGCACUCAAUCACCAAAAUACUUAGAAAUGGCCCAAAGGCACAUUUCCCUUUCAGCAUCCCCACUGCAUCUUUAGAUAUCCCUUUGGUCACUCGAACCCCAGGGUCAGACCUUCUAUGCCACCUCAAAUGCUCCCAAGUUAGAAUUCUUUUAAGUGGGGUAGUAUUCUUGGCAGACUAAGUCGUACUACCAUCCCACGAAAUUGAUGUGAUCCUAGGAAUGGAUUGGUUGACCCAGCACAAUGGUAUCAUAAGCUGCACAGAUAGGACUAUUCUUCUCACUGACCACAAAGGAAAAUCAGUUUCGUGUAAAGCUCAUCCACCGACCCAAAAUCCAGUGGUGUUCAGCCUAGCAGUAGAAAGUAUAUCUGUGGUAGAAGAAUUCAUGGAUGUGUUUCCAGAAGAGUUGCCAGGAAUACCUCCGUAAAGAGAGGUAGAAUUCUACAUUGAUCUCCUCCCAGGCACCGCACCAAUCGCAAAGAGACCAUACCGCAUGGCCCCCACAGAAUUGGUAGAACUGAAGCUUCAAAUCGCAGAACUUCAACAAAAAGGGUAUAUUCGUCCUAGCUCAUCCCCUUGGGGAGCACCAGUAUUGUUUGUCACCAAGAAGGAUGGGAGCAUGAGAAUGUGCAUUGAUUACCGAUCCUUAAAUGAAGUUACAAUCAAGAACAAGUAUCCACUACCUCGGAUUGAUGACCUUUUUGACCAACUUCAAGGGGCCAAGUAUUUAUCCAAGAUUGAUCUAAGGUCAAGAUAUCAUCAGUUGAGAAUCAAGGAAGCGGACAUUCAGAAGACAACAUUUGUCACCCGGUAUGGUCAGUACGAGUUUACAGUAAUGCCCUUUGGACUAACCAACGCACCUGCCUUCUUCAUGAAUCUUAUGAAUAAGGUGUUUAUGGAAGAGUUGGAUAAGUUUGUCAUAGUCUUUAUUGGCGACAUCCUUAUCUACUCCAAAAGUCGUGAGGAUCAUGAGCAUCACCUCCGGAUUGUCCUCGGAAGACUCAGAGCGCAUCAACUCUAUGCCAAGCUCAGCAAAUGCGAAUUUUGGUUAGAAAAGAUAGCCUUCCUCGGGCAUAUCUUGACUGCAGAAGGGAUAGAAGUGGAUCCGUCCAAGGUAGAAGCAGUAUCCAAAUGGAAGCAGCCAUCCAACGUUAGUGAAGUUCGAAGCUUCUUGGGAAUGGCGGGAUAUUACCGUCGUUUUAUCAAAGGAUUCUCCAGCAUUGCAUGACCCAUGACCGAACUCAUCAAGAAAGACAACAAAUUUGUGUGGACCCCAAAGUGUGAAGAAAGUUUCCAAGUCACAAAGAAGAAACUCACAACCGCACCAGUAUUGACACUGCUAGACAUCCACGAAAGCUUUGUCAUCUUCUGGGAUGCUUCAAGACAAGGUUUGGGAUGCGUGCUUAGGCAGAAUGAGAAAGUCAUCGCCUAUGCAUCUCGCCUACUCAAACCUCAUGAACAGAAUUAUCCAAUCGAUGAUUUGGAAUUAGCAGCCAUAUUGCAUGCUCUUAAGAUAUGGAGACACUACCUAAUUGGGAACAAAUGUCACAUAUUCAUAGAUCACAAGUCUGAAGUACAUCUUCACCCAACCAGAUCUCAAUUUCCGUUAGCGAAGAUGGCUAGAGCUAAUUAAGGAUUAUGACAUUGAAAUCCACUACCACCUAGGAAAGGCUAACGUAGUAGCUGACGCCCUCAGCCGAAAACCUUUCGGGAAGAAAGCAACAAACUUCCUAGAAGGCUGGAAGAAACAAUCGGCACAACUGAAUGCUUAUUUGGGAGAAAAUGACAGUAUCAAAGUUAAACCGAUACUGGAAGAUCUCAUUCGCAAAGCUCAGUGCUUGGACACCGAGAUAACAGGACUUGCAUAAAAGGGUAGCAAAGAACAACUCCUGGAUAUCAGGAUAGAUGAAAAGGGGACUGUUGGGGGCCUUCGGCUUCCGAAGGUCCUCAAAAACAAGAUUUAACAGUGUUUCUGGAGUAUAAUGUGUGAACAGGUAUCUUCGGACUCGAGUCGAUAUCACAGUAGGAGAAGCCCAAAUAAUACGAAGGUUGAUACAGCGCCGAAGAUGUGAGCAGGAAAGCUUCGGCGUGGUAGCAGAAAAGGAAACCGACUUAAAGAUGAAAAGGCUAUUCAGGCCUCGGUGGAUUACUAUAGAAUUACUACCAAAUGUAAAGGGCAUGGAUGUAAUUUUAUAUGGGUUGUGUCCCGUGCCUAUAAAUAGGUGAACAGUACCCCCGUACUGCUCACGCUGACUUGGCAUUUGCUUUUGCGUCACGCUUGUACUUUCGCCUUCUUUCAAGCCGAAGGUACAUUAGUAAUUUGAUAUUAUUUCUACUUUUCUAUAAUAAUAAUACAGAAAUGAAUUGAUAAUAAUACAUAAUGGUUUAUGCUAUCUUUUGUGUCUCAUAUGAUUCCUUCUUCAUUAUUAUAUGUUGAUAUUAUGAAGGUAUGUCCUUCAUAACCUUCGUCCGAAAAUCAUUAUGUCCUAAGGGAAAUAAUGCUUCGAAGGACGAAGGACUUUAACGUUUAACAUUUCUUGUGUUGCCUUGUUCUUAAUUCAUAGCAUUUGAGAACAAGUCCCCAACAUUGGCGCCCACCUCCGGUGAACUCACUUCCACUCUUUGAGUUUUGAACACCUUCGGCGAUCAUAAACCUUCGCUAUGGCGCCGAAGAAAGCUUCAGCAACUGGGGCUGCAGCUCUGCAACCGCUAGACCCCAAUUAGGAGACUCUCUCCCUUCGGGAGGCCCGAAGCCAGAAGAGGAAGGCUGUCAGCCCGACACCGCCAGAGGAUGAGCUAGACCAAGAAAUCAGAGACAUGGAGAUGCUUCAUCAACAGGUGCAGAGGAAGAAGGAAAAGAUGGCCAGGCUAGAUGAACUGCAAAGGCAGAUAGACGAAGCCUCUGAAGAAGUUCGUCAUCUUACUCAGGAUGAGCAGAACCGAAGGCCUCAGAAUAAAGACCUUCAUCAGGAGGGUUUCCUCAACGAAGAUGACUGGUAUGAGAAUUUUCACCAUGGAAAUUUUGCUUUUGAUGAUGCUUCUCCUCUGUCCGCUGAGCUGCAGGCUACACCUUGGCCUCCGUCCUACAAGCCGCCUCAGCUUCCCAUAUUCGACGGCCAUUCAGACCCGAAGCAGUUUCUGAUGAGCUACGAAGCAACAGUAUCUUCGUAUGGUGGCAAUACUGCAGUCAUGGCAAAAUCUUUUGUUAUGGCUGUCAGGAGUGUUGCUCAAACCUGGUAUUCCUCCCUUCGGCCAGGAACGAUCACUUCAUGGCAAAAGCUGAAGGACAUGUUGUUAACCAGCUUCCAAGGGUUUCAGACGAAGCCGGUCACUGCUCAAGCUCUAUUCCAGUGCACCCAGGAUCACGAAGAAUACCUUCAGGCGUAUGUCCGGAGGUUCUUGCGUUUGAGGGCACAGGCACCAACAGUGCCCAAUGAAAUUGUCAUUGAGGCCAUGAUCAAGGGACUUCGGCCAGGACCUUCAGCUCAGUACUUUGCUAGGAAGCCUCCUCAAACUUUGGAGAAGCUGCUCCAGAAGAUGGACGAAUAUAUUCGUGCUGACAAUGAUUUUCGUCAAAGAAGGGAGGAGGCUUUCAGGUUUUCUGAAAUGACCAGGGGCUUCGGAGGAAGAUUUUAUCCGAGGCAUGUUAGGUCAAUUCACAACUCUACUCAAAAUGAUGAUAAGGGAAGUCAAUAGCAAAGGCCACAGUGCUCCUCACAGGCUUCGGGGCAACAGCAAAGCUCCUUCCGGCCGCCAGCUCCAAGAGGCAGAGGCGCCAGGGGCUUCGGCGGAAGGUUUGGAGAUCAACCAAGGAGAAUAUUUUGCUUGUUCUGUGGUGAAAACAAGGGCCAUACCACCAGGAUGUGCCAUGUUACUAUCCAGAAGCAAAAGGAGAUAGCCGAAGCUGCAGCACAACAGGCUCAGCCGAAGCAAAUCAUGCACACUGCUUCGUAUCAUUCGCCUUACAUCCCAGAAUAUGUAGGCAACCACCCUGCAGUUUCUGUUGCUUCGGCGAGUCAACCUCAAGCUUCCUGGCAACAGCCUCCGCCUCCACCACCGCUGCAACAAGGCCAGCAGCCAGAAGGGGGCCAAUAUGCUCAACACCAAAGGGACUUCAGAGAACAGUCCGAAGCUCGCACAGUCAAUAGCACUGUGCCAGAGUCGAAGCACAUCUAUUGACAAAUAUCCUACCUUGAUAGUAGUCUUUUCCAUUCAGUUUUAUUUUCUGUGUAAUAAAGGACAUUUUUUAAAUUUCAUGUAAUAGUUUCGUUGUUUGCCACAAGGAAAAUAUAUUUAUUAUUCUAACAAAUUAAUAUUGCGAGGGGCUACUGUUGGGGGCCUUCGGCUUCCGAAGGUCCUCAAAAACAAGAUUUAACAGUGUUUCUGGAGUAUAAUGUGUGAACAGGUAUCUUCGGACUCGAGUCGAUAUCACAGUAGGAGAAGCCCAAAUAAUACGAAGGUUGAUACAGCGCCGAAGAUUUGAGCAGGAAAGCUUCGGCGUGGUAGCAGAAAAGGAAACCGACUUAAAGAUGAAAAGGCUAUUCAGGCCUCGGUGGAUUACUAUAGAAUUACUACCAAAUGUAAAGGGCAUGGAUGUAAUUUUAUAUGGGUUGUGUCCCGUGCCUAUAAAUAGGUGAACAGUACCCCCGUACUGCUCACACUGACUUGGCAUUUGCUUUUGUGUCACGCUUGUACUUUCGCCUUCUUUCAUGUCGAAGGUACAUUUGUAAUUUGAUAUUAUUUCUACUUUUCUAUAAUAAUAAUACAGAAAUGAAUUGAUAAUAAUACAUAAUGGUUUAUGCUAUCUUUUGUGUCUCAUAUGAUUCCUUCUUCAUUAUUAUAUGUUGAAUUUAUGAAGGUAUGUCCUUCAUAACCUUCGUCCGAAAAUCAUUAUGUCCUAAGGGAAAUAAUGCUUCGAAGGACGAAGGACUUUAACGUUUAACAUUUCUUGUGUUGCCUUGUUCUUAAUUCAUAGCAUUUGAGAACAAGUCCCCAACAGGGACCCUUUGGUUUAGGAACCAUCUGUGUGUACCGAAGGGAGAGGCACAAGAAAUCCUGCUAGAUGAAGCCCACAACUCAGCCUAUUCUAUCCACCCAGGGUCUACCAAGAUGUACCUAGACCUCAAAGCUAGAUACUGGUGGAGAGGAAUGAAAAAAGAGAUAGCUCAGUAUGUGGCCCGGUGUGAUACUUGUCGAUGAACUACGCAGAACAUCAGAGGCCCGCAGGCCUACUGCAACCCCUUUCAGUGCCCAAAUGGAAGUGGGAAGAAAUAGGCAUGGACUUCAUAAUCGUACUGCCCCGAACCCAAAAGGGGAACGAUUCUAUCUGAGUUAUAAUUGGCCAUCUUACUGAAGUAGCUCACUUCAUUCCCGUAAAGACUACCUUUGGAGGAGCCACCCUCGCCCGGAUAUAUCUCAAAGAAAUAGUCAGACUUCAUGGCAUUCCGCGAAGAAUAGUGUCAGACAGGGGAACGCAAUUCACCUCAAAAUUUUGGUUGAGCCUUCAGCAAGCUAUGGGCACCAAGCUAGACUUCAACACCGCCUACCACCCCCAGUCAGAUGGACAAACAGAAAGAGUCAACAAAGUCCUCAAAGAUUUGUUGAGAGCCUGUGUGCUGACCUUCGACAGAGACUGGGAGUCCAGUUUGCCGUAUGCAGAAUUCUCGUACAACAACAGUUACAAGGCCAUCAUCAAGAUGUCACCUUUUGAAGCCUUGUAUGGAAGGAGGUGCCAAACCCCUCUGAUGGGGUCAAACAUAGGGGAAAAGACCCUAGAAGGACCUGCCUUCAUCAAGGAGGCAGAAGAGAAAGUUUCCCUGAUCCACAGGAGAUUACUCGAAGCACAGAGUCAGCAAAAGAGUUACGCAGACAAUAGAAGGAGAGAACUCAGUUUCGAGGAAGGAGAUUUUGUCUACCUCAAGGUCUCCCCAAUGCGUGGAGUCAAAAGAUUCCAAGCAAAAGGGAAGCUAGCUCCGUGAUUCGUCGGCCCCUAUCCUAUCAUUGGUAGAAUAGGACCAGCAGCUUACCGCCUUCAGUUACCAGAGUCCAUGUCAGAUAUCCAUAAUGUAUUUCAUGUAUCUUAGCUCCAAAAAUGCAUAAAAGUACCAGAGAGUCACAUCGCAGAGGAGUCAGUUCAGAUUCAGAAAGAUCUGUAGUAUCGAGAAAAGCCAGUGAAGAUUCUCGAUUCAGCCAUUCGAAAGACUCGAAACUCAGAAGUAAGGCUCUGUAAAGUCCAGUGGAGCAGAGAAGGAGAAGAGGAGGCUACCUGGGAGAGUGAGGACUCAUUGAGGAAGAAAUACCCUUACCUUUUUCUCAAACCUAGCCUGAAUCUCGAGGGCGAGAUUCUUUUAAGUGGGGUAGGUCUGUAACAUCCCAGUUUUGAUCCCAAGGUUAGAAACCCUAAACUCCUAACCCCCCCAUUAUUUUCUCCUAAGAUCUCAUCUCAUGAAGCAUUUUAUUCAUCAUAUGCAUACACCAUGAUUGCUAGUAACACUUCACAUAGAAUACUUCAUUUUGGCACCUAAGAAAUAUAGAUGAAUAUUUGUUCAAAGGAGAAAAGGGAUUAAGGAAAAGAAAAGAGAAAAGAAAAAGAAAAAGAAAAAGGAAAAUCCCUCUCCCCCUCGGCUGGGCUGGAUCCGGCCCAAGCUCUCCCCCUCUCUCUUCCCCGCGCGUCCGUGUUCCUCUCCCUCCACUCGCGGCCCACGCGGCCCAUCCGCCCGCGCGCGUGCCGCGCUCUCCCCCUCUCCCGCUGACCGCCCGACCCCGCCUGUCAGCCACACCCGCCCCCUCUCCCUCGCGCCCGCUCUUCCGCUGGCAGACGGGCCCCAUUCGUCAGUCCCUUCUCCCUCACCCGUGAUCGGCCAUCGACGCGAUCGUCGUCGGCCACCAUCCGCCCCGUCUCCUCGCCAUUACUCGCUCACUAGUAAGAUUUGGCACCAAGCAUCCCCGCGCACUGUGACCAGGUGACCACUCGCCCCCGCCUGCACCGAGCCGUCCUAUCGCCACCACUAUGCCACCAUCAUCGCCGCCUCAGCGCCGCCUCGCUGGUGCCCAACGGCCUCCACCCUCCCCUCCCCAGACGCCUAUAAAGGGCCACCCCAAGCCCCUCAUCUCCUCGCACCGACCUCGGCCAUCCCUCACCACUCCCCCGAGCUCAAUCGAGCCAAUGCCGCCGCUCUCUCCCUCCGCUCCGGUGAGUUCCCCCUCUCUUCUCUAGUAGCCUAAGGUCCAAUUAAGUUAGCUCACAAACUUUACCACCUCUCCACGAUCACGAGGCACCACUUUUGCCUCCCCAGUCAUGCCCAGUGGCCUCACCGGCGAUCACGCCGUCGCGGAGCCCGCUGAAAGUCGCCUAGAGGGGGGGUGAAUAAAGCGAAUCUGAAAUUUACAAACUUUAAGCACAACUACAAGCCGGGGUUAGCGUUAGAAAUAUAAAUGAGUCCGAAAGAGAGGGCGAAAACAAAUCACAAGCAAAUAAGGCGGAUGACACGAUGAUUUGUUUUACUGAGGUUCGGUUCUUGCAAACCUACUCCCCGUUGAGGUGGUCACAAAGACCGGGUCUCUUUCAACCCUUUCCCUCUCUCAAACGGUCACUUAGACCGAGUGAGCUUCUCUUCUCAAUCAAACGAGACACUAAGUCCCCACAAGGACCACCACACAAUUGGUGUCUCUUGCCUUGGUUACAAUUGAGUUGAAAUCAAAAAAGAAUGAGGAAGAAAAGCAAUCCAAGCGCAAGAGCUCAAAUGAACACAAGUAUCUCUCUCUCACUAGUCACUAUUUGAUUGGAAUUGUCUUUGGACUUGGGAGAGGAUUUGAUCUCUUUGGUUGUGUCUUGUAUUGAAUGUUAUAGCUCUUGUAUGAGGUGUGAAGGCUGAAAACUUGGAUACGUUGAAGUGUGGUGGUUGGGGGGUAUUUAUAGCCCCAACCACCAAAAGAACCGUUGGUGAGGGCUUCUGUCGUAUGGCGCACCGAACAGUCCGGUGCGCCACCGGACAAUGUCCAGUGCGCCAGCCACGUCACCAGGCCGUUGGAUUCUGACCGUUGGAGCUUCUGACUUCUGGUGCACCGGACAGUCCGGUGGUCCACCGGACAGGUUCUGUAGACUGUCCGGUGCGCCUUCUAGCUCUGCUCUGACUUCUGCGCGCACUGUAGCGCAUUAACUGCUCCCUGCAGACGACCGUUGGCACGAAGUAGUCGUUGCUCCGCUGGCACACCGGACAGUUCGGUGCUACACCGGACAGUCCGGUGAAUUAUAGCGGAGCGGCUCCCAGAUUUCCCGAAGGUGAGCAGUUCGGAGUUGGGUUCCCUGGUGCACCGGACACUGUCCGGUGGUGCACCGGACAGUCCGGUGCGCCAGACCAGGGCACACUUUGGCAGUCUUUUGCUCUCUUUGUUUGAACCCUUUCUUGGUCUUUUUAUUGGUUUGUUGUGAACCUUUGGCACCUGUAAAACUUAUAAUCUAGAGCAAACUAGUUAGUCCAAUUAUUUGUGUUGGGCAAUUCAACCACCAAAAUCAAUUAGAAAAAGGUGUAAGCCUAUUUCCCUUUCAAUCUCCCCCUUUUUGGUGAUUGAUGCCAACACAAACCAAAGCAAAUAUAAAAGUGCAGAGUUGAACUAGUUUGCAUAAUGUAAGUGCAAAGGUUGCUUGAAAUGAAACCAAUAAUUAUUUCUACUAGAUAUGCAUGGAUGGAUUUCUUCUAAUUUAAAAUUUUGGACCACGCUUGCACCACUUGUUUUGUUUUGCAAAUUUUUGGAAAUUCUUUUCAAAAAUCUUUUGCAAAUAGUCAAAUAUAUGAAUAUGAUUUUGAGAAGCAUUUUCAAGAUUUGAAAUUUUCUCUCCCUGUUUCAAAUGCUUUUCCUUUGACUAAAUAAAACUCCCCCUUAAUGAAAUCCUCCUCUUAGUGUUCAAGAGAGUUUUAGAUAUUAAUUUUGAAGAGGGUAUUCCAAUUUGAAAUUAUAUCACAAAUAAGAUACCAAUUUGAAAAACACUUCUAUGAAUACAAGUUGAAAGACUAAAUUUUUUGAAAUUGGUGGUGGUGCGGUCCUUUUGCUUUGGGCUAAUACUUUCUCCCCCUUUGGCAUGAAUCGCCAAAAACGGAUACUUGUGAGUGAAAUAUAAGCCCUUAUUCUACUUUCUCCCCCUAUGGUAAAUAAUAUAUGAGUGAAGAUUAUACCAAAUUGGAGAGCGGUGUGGAGCGACGGCGAAGGAUGAAUAAUUCGAUGGAGUGGAGUGGAAACCUUGUCUUCACCGAAGACUCCAUUUCCCUUUCAAUCUAUGACUUAGUAAAAUGUUCACUUGAAAAGACAUUAGUCAUAGUACAUGAAAUAGAUAUGAUCAAAGGUAUAUAAAUGAGCUAUGGGUGCAAGAUAUCAAUCAAAAUUCCUAGAAUCAAGAAUAUUUAGUUCAUGCCUAAGUUUGGUAAAUGUUUGCUCAUCUAGUGGCUUGGUAAAGAUAUAGUGUUAACAUAAGCAAUCUUGAUAUCCCCCUUUUGUUGGUGAUCCCUUAAAAAUGAUAUUGAAUGGCUAUAUGUUUAGUGCGGCUAUGCUCAACGGGAUUAUCCGCCAUGCGGAUUACACUCUCAUUAUCACAUAGAAGAGGAACUUUAGUUAAUUUGUAACCAUAGUCCCUGUUGGGGACCUUCGGCAUCCGAAGGUCCUCAAAAAUAGGAUUUAAUAGUAUUUCUGGAGUAUAAUGUGUGAACAGGUAUCUUCGGACUCAAGUCGGCAUCACAGUAAACAAGAAUAAUACGAAGGUUGAUGCAGCGCCGAAGGUGUAAGCAGGAAAGCUUCGGCGUGACAGCAGAAGGGGAAACCGACUUAAAGAUAAAAAGGCUAUUUAGACCUCGACAGAUUACUAUAGAAUUAUUAUCAAGUGUAAAUGGCAUGAAUGUAAUUUUGCAUGGGCUGCGACCCGUGCCUAUAAAUAGGUGAACAGUACCCCCGUACUGUUCACGCUGACUUGGCAUUCGCUUUUUGCGUCACGUUUGUACUAUCAUUUCCUUCCAGUUGGAGGUACACUCAUAAUUCAACGAUACUUCUGUUUAUGCUUAAUAAUAAUACAUAAUGGUGCAUGUUGUCAUUUAUAUUUCUUACAUUUCAUUCUUCGUCAUUAUACAAUGAAUUCAAGAAGGUAUCCCCUUCAAAACCUUCGUCCGAAAACCAUUAUACCCUAAGGGAAAUAAUGUUUCGAAGGACGAAGGACUUUAACAAUCGACAUUUUCUGUGUUGCCUUGUUCUUAACUCAUAGCAUUUGAGAACAAGUCCCCAACAUUGGCGCCCACCUCCGGUGAACUCACUUCCACUCUGAGUUUUUUGAACACCUUCGGCGAUCAUAAACCUUCGUUAUGGCGCCGAAGAAGGCUUCAGCGACUGGGGCUGCAGCUCUGCAACCACUGGACCACAAUCAGGAGACAGUCUCCUUGCGGGAGGCCCGAAGCCAGAAAAGGAAGGCUGUCAGCCCAACACCACCAGAGGACGAGAUAGAUCAAGAAAUCAGAAAUAUGGAGAUGCUUCAUCAACAAGUACAGAGGAAGAAAGAAAAGAUGGCCAGGCUAGCUGAACUGCAGAGGCAGAUAGACGAAGCCUCUGAAGAAGUUCGUCAUCUUGUCCAGGAUGAGCAGCACCGAAGGCCUCAACAUCAAGAUCUUCAUCAGGAGGGUUUCCCCAAUGAAGAUGACUGGUAUGACAAUUUCCAUCAUGGGAAUUUUGUUUUUGAUGAUGCUUCUCCUCUGUCCGCUGAGAUGCAGGCUACAUCGUGGCCUCCGUCUUACAAGCCGCCCCAGCUUCCUGUAUUCGAUGGCCACUCAGACCCGAAGCAGUUUUUGAUGAGCUACGAAGCAACAGUAUCUUCGUAUGGUGGCAAUGCUUCAGUCAUGGCCAAAUCUUUCGUUAUGGCUGUCAGGAGUGUGGCUCAAACCUGGUAUUCCUCCCUUCGACCAGGAACGAUCACUUCAUGGCAGAAGCUGAAGGACUUGUUGUUAACUAGCUUCCAAGGAUUUCAGACGAAGCCGGUCACUGCUCAGGCUCUGUUCCAGUGCACCUAAGAUCACGAAGAAUACCUUCAGGCGUAUGUCCGAAGGUUCUUGCGUUUGAGGGCACAGGCACCAACGGUGCCCAAUGAAAUUGUCAUUGAGGCCAUGAUCAAGGGGCUUCGGCCAGGACCGUCAGCUCAGUACUUCGCUCGGAAGCCUCCUCAAACUUUGGAGAAGCUGCUCCAGAAGAUGGACGAGUACAUUCGGGCCGACAAUGAUUUUCGCCAAAGAAGGGAGGAGGCUUUCAGGUUUUCUGAAAUGACCAGGGGCUUCGGAGGGAGAUUCUACCCGAGGCACGUGAGAUCAAUUCAUAACUCUACACAAAAUGAUGAUAGAGGAAGCCAACAGCAAAGGCCGCAAUGUUCCUCGCAGGCUUCGGGGCAACAGCAAAGCUCCUUCAGACCACCAGCUCCAAGAGGCAGAGGCGCCAGGGGCUUUGGAGGAAGAUUUGGCGAUCAACCGAGAAGAAUCUUUUGCUUAUUCUGCGGUGAGAACAAAGGCCAUACUACCAGGAUGUGCCAUGUUACUAUUCAGAAGCAAAAGGAAAUAGCUGAAGCAGCAGCACAACAAGCUCAGCCGAAGCAGGUCAUGCAUACAGCUUCGUAUCAUUCGCCCUACAUUCCAGAAUAUGUGGGCAAUCAUCCUGCAGUUUCUGUUGCUUCGGCGAGUCAGCCUCAAGCUUCUUGGCAACAGCCUCCGCCUCCACCUCCGUUGCAACAAGGCCAGCAGCCAGAAGGGAGCCAGUAUGCUCCACACCAGAGGGACUUCAGAGAGCAGUCCGAAGCUCGUACAGUCAAUAGCACUGUGCCAGAGUCAAAGCACAUCUAUUGACAAAUAUCCUACCUUAAUAGCAAUCUUUUUCAUUCAGUUUUAUUUUCUGUAAUAAAGGACAUUGUUUAGGCUUCAUGUAAUUAGUUUCGUUGGUUCCUACAAGGAAAAUAUAUUUUCUUCACAGGCUUAUAUUGAUAACAAAGAGGACCUUCGAACUACCGAAAAUUCUUUGGAGCAACAAAAAGUCGUUCUAAGGAACGCAGAGUAAGUUUGCCGAAGUCACGAAAAGUCAUUCCAAAGGGAACGCAGUGUAAGUUUUCUGCUCCAAAGUCGUUCCAAAGGGAAUGCAGAGCAUACAGCGAAAAGUCAACGCUGAUACCGCCUAAGUAAAAGGCGAAGCGCGAAAAGUCAACGCGAAUACCGCUGAAAGUAAAAGGCGAAGAAGCUCCUAAGGGAGGCUUACAGCGAAAAAUAAACGCUGAUCCCGCUGAAGUAAAAGGCGAAGAAGCUCCUAAGAGAGGCCUAUAAAAGAUUGUGUUUUAUUGCAGGGAUGCGUAUGUAUCUUCGGAAUAAACAUCAUCUCACAUAACAUAACAUCAUCGCAUCAUUUCGCAUAGCAUAAGCAUCAUACAUCAUUUUGCACAUGGCACAAGAGGUGGACACAAUAUCAAUCUACAGAAGAACGCUUUGAAAAAAGGGAGAAAUCAUAGUCACAAAAAAGAUACAUCAUUGAUCUUCGGAGGUGUAGCUUCGGAAAAUAUUUUCACGAAGCCUGGAUAUUAUUCAUCAGAACAUUGGUUAUUGUUGUGACAAAGAUAAUUUUUUCUUCACGAAGCAUGAAAAGAAGGGAAGGUGUUUUUUCGUCAAAGACUCAAAAGCGGUACGUGUAAAGUUUCAUGCAUCGUAAAGUAUUGACUAACAAAAAUAGGUAUAUUACAUUUGAGGUUACAAAAUGUUACAGUAUAUUACAUUUCCGAAGUUUUUUACAAAAAUACUUAAUCUUCUCUCAAAACGACUUCUGCAGCCUCGUUCAGGAGCCGAUUGACGACUUCGUCCAUAAUAUCUUCAGCCAUCUUUUUAAUUUCGUCGUCUCCUUUCGGCUGAGGGCCCGAAGACGCUUUAGCAGGAUCUGAAGUAAGAUAGGAUACGGAUACAGUGCUAUUACAAAUCGCAAACAAAUCUUAAAGCCUAAGAUUACAACACAAUAAAAACUAUUAGUUAAUACCUAAUUGACCUUCGGCCUCUGCGCUCUUUUCAGCAGCCUCAGCUACUUCUCUAGCAUCAUGAAUCCCCUUUUCACUUCUUCUAAUAAUUUCUCCGGCCAUUUCUCGGCCACCAUUAUCCCAAAUAUCGGUAAAAAAUUUUCCACCAAUUAUACUAGCUUCGGCCGAAGGAUCUCUUGUAUCUUCAAAAGACAAAGCAGCUUCGGAUUGUGCUAAAAUUUUUACAUGUUCGCAGCCCUUCUUCUCUAAGAUGGUGGCAAUUCCUCUGGCACCAGAGAAGGCACAUAUAUCUCCACGGCUAUUUAAAAUUUCUUCGAAGGCUUCAGCUUCGUGGUCGAUCCACUCGAUGGGGCCUUCGGGAUUGCCUCUCGUAAAGUUUUCCUCACUUGAAAAUGCGCCGACCUUGGCGAAGCUAGCCUUCAGCUUCUUAACACAUUCUAUAGAUUUGUUAUAACAUCUCUUUUUGGACGACCGAAGCUCUUCAACGGUUCCUUCUAGGUGAUCUGCCCAUUGGUCGCUGAGUUCUCGCUUUGUCUCUUCAAGUAUGCGUUCUUCCUUGGCUCUGGCCAGUUGUUUCCGAAGAUCUUCAAUUUCGCGUUUCUGAGCUUCAGCUUGACCUUUAAAAGCAGCUUCGUCUGCCUUUAUUUUAUUUAUCAAUGAGUGUAAUAUUUUAUCUUUCUCGAGACCUUCGUUCCUCAGUUCAAUAACUUCGGAACGAAGGUUGCUCAGGGCUAUAGAACACCCUUCGUCUUCAGCAUCUUUCUGUGCCCUGAGGGCAUUGCUAAGUAUCAGGCCCUGCAAAGAGAAAUAUGUGUGUGUCAAUAGGUUUAAACAAACAAAAGAUUUUGGACUCAACAAAAAUACAAGGAUUUCAUUUGUCGCACCUUUAAGCUAUUGUAAGCCAGGCUAUCGGCCAGAUCGUUCUUCGACAGCACCGAGAGCCCGUCUUCUAAAGUUGGGAAUCCGAAGCUCUUGCUCAUCUCCCGACAGACAGAAAUCUCCUUGCUGUCGGGGAGACAAUACAAGAAGUCUUCUUCUCCACUGCCAUUGAAUAUUAACGCCCCUUUUGGAUAUUUCAGUUUUUGGGCGUAGUGUUGGGCCUCUUGCUCUUCUUUUUCUGAUAGUUUCUUCCCCGAAGCAUGACGAACAAUAUAAUCACGAACUUUGAGGGAUGCUCCGGGGGCAAUAACACCGGUUUCUUCAACCAAAGUUGGCUUUGUAAUUUUUUCUGCCUCACUUUCCAAGGAUUUUAUCUUUGCGGGCUCUGAGGGCCCAGCUUCGGCUUCAGUCUCUUGCUCUGGAGCUUUAGAACCAGAAAUUUCAGUUGUUGUUUCAGGAAUGACAUCAGCCUUCUUCGGAGGUGUGCUUGAAGAUUUGAUCGUUUCCAGUACAUCUAGCACAUUAGCCAUUCUCUUUCUUUUUGGAGUCACUGCUGGCACUUUUUGAUUUUUUACUGUCUCAAUGUUUGCUGCAGGACUCAAAACUUCUGAUGUUUUGGAUCCCUCAGUUGCUUCUUUUACCUCUUCCAUUUUUUCUGAGGACGGCGCUUCGGCCUUCUCUUUCGUUUCUGAUAACAAAAUCUUUGAUUGUUCCAAUUCUAUCUUUGUUGGCACUUCGGCCGUUUCUGCGACUUCUGGCAGCAAGGAUGGCUCGAUUGGUUUUUUAGCUUCGGUGGCCGAAGAAGUUUCUCCGGUAAACUCAGGCACCGAAGCUGGUUCAAUAUAGCGCGGCCGAUGUGUGAGGACCUUUAUCUUUUUUCUUUUCGGUUCUGGCUCGCAAGGAGCCAUUGCAGCUUCUUCUUUUGCAGAGGUUGUGUUUUUUCUCUUCUGCCUUCGAAUGGGAUAGCAAUAGUCAGGGUAGACAAACCCGAUUGCAUCAAAUACCCGAUUCAGCCUCUUCUUUUUUCGGCCUCCGAAGGCUGCUGACAUUGCAGUGUCUUCGGCUUUCGAGUAAGCCCCAAGCAGUUCAUCACUUAAAUUUUCAAUGCUUUUCAGCCAGUCAUCAUCUGGCUCAACGAAUUUAUCUCCAAAUUUAAAAGUGUACUUCAACCUGAUAAGUCCACCUUCGUCGGCCUCUUUUACGGUUUCUUGUGGCAUUUCCCAUUUCUCCGCGAGCGGCCAUACCCUGAAGGCAAUAUGCUCUUGUACUAAGUCUCUCGUUCCAAUAAAAGAACAGAUAACGCCGAAGGCCCUCUGGCAUUCUUCGGCAGCUUCAUUCAUUUCAACCUUCGGCCUCCGAAGGCCGAAGCUUUGCCAAAUAGGGCGCAUGAUUAUACCUUUGAUAUCUUCUCGUACUGUCAGAUCAUUCUUCACAUAAAACCAUUCUGUCAUCCAAUCUCCGGGCCAUCUCUUCCGAAAGGUUGGCACGGGGCAGCUUGACCCGGACCGGGAAACGAAACUGUAGCAGCCAAAAUUAUUGUGAUACUGUUCCUUACCCCAAGGUUUUGUUUCAUAUGAUAAUUCAUGUAUAUUGCAGAAGCUUUUUGCGUCAGGCUUCAGACCUUGGCUUUUCACGGCCCACACGAAGAUAUUCAGCCUUAUAAUUGCCUCGGGUGUAAGUUGAUGGAGAUAGACUUCGAAUAUUUUCAGCACCUCUACAACGAAGCUGCUCAAAGGGAAUCGCAGUCCAGCUUUCAAAAAACUUCGGUAUACUACGACUUCAUUCUCUUCAGGGUGUGGGCAAGUUUUUUCCCCUUCGUCGGCCCUCACAAUGGACAAAUCCCGAAAAUACCUUCCUCUCAUGUUGACAAGAUGAUUCUCUCUGAUAGUUGAUUUACCAUAAACUGAGUGGCUUGGUCGCCAGGGACGAUUUUCGGAGUCUUCACCACCACUGUCUACAUCAUAGCUGUCACUGUCACCAGUAUCUUCAGACAAACCUUCCAGAAUCUCCUUGGUAAUUUUUUCUGUGUUGGUCUUUGACAUCGCUAUGAGAAACCCCAAGUUUUUCUCUUCGUCAAGGCUCAGCUUCAUCUCAGCAGCAGUCUUCUUAUCUUCAGACAUCUUCGGAGGCACUAAAAAACUAUUUUCAAAGCCGAAGCUUCAAAACUAAAGGCUUAGCAAAUUGUAGUGCGCAAGAGCUAAAAAUUGAGUCAGCAGGAGCAAUUGGCCAGAGAGCGUGUCAAAUAAGUUUGCGGUAUCGACCUAUUUAUACGCUAAAAGCGUUGAAAAUUGAAAGACCCCGCUUGUCAGUGAAUGUUGCUAUUCUAGCAAAGGGAAGGUGUUUUUUCGGACCUUCGGCGUAAAGCCUUCGUCCAUGUCGCAAUCUAAAUUUAUUAUUUUAAACAAAUUUUUAUUGCGAGGGGCUACUGUUGGGGACCUUCGGCAUCCGAAGGUCCUCAAAAACAGGAUUUAAUAGUAUUUCUGGAGUAUAAUGUGUGAAUAGGUAUCUUCGGACUCAAGUCGGCAUCACAGUAAACAAGAAUAAUACGAAGGUUGAUGCAGCGCCGAAGGUGUAAGCAGGAAAGCUUCGGCGUGACAGCAGAAGGGGAAACCGACUUAAAGAUAAAAAGGCUAUUUAGACCUCGACAGAUUACUAUAGAAUUAUUAUCAAGUGUAAAGGGCAUGAAUGUAAUUUUGCAUGGGCUGCGACCCGUGCCUAUAAAUAGGUGAACAGUACCCCCGUACUGUUCACGCUGACUUGGCAUUCGCUUUUUGCGUCACGUUUGUACUAUCAUUUCCUUCCAGUUGGAGGUACACUCGUAAUUCAACGAUACUUCUGUUUAUGCUUAAUAAUAAUACAUAAUGGUGCAUGUUGUCAUUUAUAUUUCUUACAUUUCAUUCUUCGUCAUUAUACAAUGAAUUCAAGAAGGUAUCCCCUUCAAAACCUUCGUCCGAAAACCAUUAUACCCUAAGGGAAAUAAUGUUUCGAAGGACGAAGGACUUUAACAAUCGACAUUUUCUGUGUUGCCUUGUUCUUAACUCAUAGCAUUUGAGAACAAGUCCCCAACAGUCCCUGAGGGUUUGCCUCAUCCAAAGCAAUUGCGCGCAACAAUGGCCUGCGGCAAUGUACUCGGCUUCGGCGGUAGAAAGAGCUACAGAAUUUUGCUUCUUUGAAGCCCAAGACACCAGAGAUCUUCCCAAGAACUGGCAAGUCCCUGAUGUGCUCUUUCUAUUAAUUUUACACCCUACCCAAUCAGCAUCGGAAUACACAAUUAAAUCAAAUGUGGAUCCCCUGGGGUACCAAAGGCCAAACUUAGGAGUAUAAACUAAAUAUCUCAAGAUUCGUUUCACGGCCCUAAGGUGAACUUUCUUAGGAUCGGCUUGGAAUCUUGCACACAUGCAUACGGAAAGCAUAAUAUCCGGUCGAGAUGCACAUAAAUAGAGUAAAGAACCUAUCAUCGACCGGUAUACCUUUUGAUCUACGGAUUUACCUCUCGUGUCGAGGUCGAGAUGCCCAUUAGUUCCCAUGGGUGUCUUGAUGGGCUUGGCAUCCUUCAUCCCAAACUUGGUAAGAAUGUCUUGAAUGUACUUCAUUUGGCUAAUGAAGGUGCCCUCCUGGAGUUGCUUCACUUGAAAUCCUAAGAAAUACUUCAACUCCCCCAUCAUAGACAUCUCAAAUUUUUGAGUCAUGAUCCUACUAAACUCUUCACAUGUAGAUUCGUUAGUAGACCCAAAUAUGAUAUCAUCAACAUAAAUUUGGCAUACAAACAAAUCAUUUGCAAGUGUUUUAGUAAAGAGAGUAGGAUCGGCUUUUCUGACUUUGAAGCCAUUAGCGAUAAGAAAAUCUCUUAGGCAUUCAUACCAUGCUCUUGGGGCUUGCUUGAGCCCAUAAAGCGCCUUAGAGAGUUUAUAAACAUGGUUAGGAUACUCACUGUCGGUGUUUUGGGUCCGACCGCACACCUGGGGUUACCCCCCAAGGUGUUUUUAGGAGUAGGACGGUGUCAACGACUGUAGCAAAAUGGUUCGUGCCGAUUGCACGAGGGACAGCAGACAAGAUUUGCAGGUUCGGGCCGCUUAGAGGUGCGUAACACCCUACGUCCUGAUGAGUAUUUGAGUGUGGUUACAAGAGGGCUCUCUGGAACGGAGGCACAGAGAGUUUACGUGGGUGGCUAAGUAAAGUAGGGUCGAUCGAUCUGAAGGGGUGCCCCCUAGGCCUUAUAUACUCGACCGUGGGGCAGUACACGUGGAUAUGAUAACAACAAGUAGCUGAAAGAUAGUAAACCUCUUGAGUUUAUCCCUACGUAACCCUUGCCGACUUAUCCUCGCAUGGCUCUGUUGCAUGGGGGCUUCAGCGCGGGAAAGUCGGGUCUUUGUUGCGAUUUACUCGCCCGACGUUGUGGGCCGUCCGGGUUUGCUCCAAUCCAGUCUUACGUCUUCUCUGCUUCGUUGAUUGUCUCUCCCCAGGCCCACGAAAGAACGACCUUACGAUUUAUUGGGCCCUUGGGCCUUUCGUGAGGUCUUUUAUCUCUUUAGUGGACCCGGGGGAUAUCUAUCCCCCACAAGCCCCCGAUCUUUGGGUUGAUUUAGAGGUAAUCAACUCAAAGAUCCAAGGUCCAAGAAAUGGCUUCCUGCUGUCUUCUCUUGCUCUGAUCACUCGUUCGACCGAAGUUUAGUUUUGUGCUUGUGCCUUAGAGGUCGACAUUUUGAAUUGUAGAAUUCUGGACUUCAUUGGGUGCACCGGAGGUGCACCCAAUGGGUGUAGCCCCCGACCUUUGAGUAGAUUUUAGAAGAUAAUCUACUCGAAGGUCUUCCCCAGAAAUUAUCUCUAUGCGCGCUCAUGUACCUUGGUUGAGGAUUGGUCUUUUCAAUCUUGUCCCAUGCCUUAGAAGCCGGCACUAUAUUGGUUUAGAGUGAUAAUCCAUGGGGUGCACCGGAGGUGCACCCAAUGGGUGUAGCCCCCGACCUUCAAAUGGAUUUUUUAAGGAUAAUCCAUUCGAAGGUCUUUCUUUUGCUUGUAAAAAUUGUAAUGAAGCUAUUCGCAUUAUGCUUUGGAGGUCAGCAUUAUGUCAUCAAAAUUUUGCUGCAGAAGUCAGCAUAUAUUUUGUCUUUAGCAGCCGAGUUUGCAAUCCGUCCAUAUCUUGCUAGGUAAUGCAAUUUAUUUCCUUCUGCGACUUGAUUGGAUGUUUGACGGACGUUCUCUGUCUAGUCCUCACAUCAUUUCUGUCGGUCAUAUCUUGUACUUUGCUGGCUAUAUUUGGCUUUCCUCUGAUCCUUACUGAUAUCUCAUUUUUGUCUUGAGGUAUUUACUGCAUGCUCUGCACGGAUGUGACCGUUUUGAAAAAUAUACUGAUAAUUCCUGGGCGUCCCCCCCCCCAAUGGGUGUGGGCAAGGGACGGCUUGGUACGCUGAGUGUUUUAGCCGGCUGCUUCUGAGUAGUAAUGUGAUGGGACGACCAGUGUAAUCAUAUCCUUUGCGCUGUUGACUGGAGUCCCAAUGGGUGUAGUGUUGCAUGAAACGGCGUCUGCCGUCUGACGUGUCUUCAGAUGGGUGGGAGUGCUUAUUGAAUGCUUUGCGACUGUUCAGUGACCGCGGUUGGAAGUGAGCGGUUGCCUUUCCUUUCUAUAAAUAACGCCCUUGCUCCUCUGGUUUUUUCACAUCCUUUGUUGUUCUCUGUUUCUUCUCUUUCUUCUCUCCCGUCUGCUUUCACCAUGGGCAAGAACAACAAGCGCAAGCGUGAGCCGACUCCUCCAUCGGAGGAGUUUGGUGACUCGGAAUACUCAGAGGAGGAGUUCUCCUCUGAGUCCGAGGGGUCUCCGGCUCCCAUCCCCCUGCGUGAGUCGUCUGAUGACUCAGACGAUUCCCAGGGGCUUGCGGCGGAGGUCUGGACGUACAUCCGGGCCGUCGAGCGCUCCGGGCUCGAGGGCUCGGAUGAGUCUGAGUUCUCCUCGGACGAGGAGGACUCGGACGGCGGCGAGGACGAAGAUGACGACGACGACGACGGUGGCGACGGCGACGGUGACGGCAGCAACGGCGGCGGAGGCAGCGGCGGCAAGGGCAGCACCAGGGGCGGCAGCAGCACGGGCAGCACCAGAGGCAGCAGCAGCAAGGGUAGCACCAAGGGCGGCGGCAGCAAGGGCAGCAGCGGCAAGGCCAGUGGCUAAACGCCACUGGUCUUUAGAUAUUAGUAUAGUGUAGUUAAAAUAAUGUAGUAGUAAUGUAGAGUAGUAUAGUGUAGUUUAGUAGUAGUAGUAAUGUAGAGUAGAAGUAGGGAAGCACCAACUCGCGAAGAGUUGGUUUGUAAACUUAUUAACUUCCCUUUAAUGAAGAACUGUCGUUGACCCCCCUUUUCGAUGACUCGCUUUUUCUGAAUGUUGAACUGAUUCUUUUGAUAUAGUAGAUGAAUAACUUGCGCAUCGCAUUGACGCCUCCAGAAGUAGCUGCCGAGUAAUAUCUUAGUCGGUAUCGGCGUUUUUAGAAACAACACCGAGCGAUGUGAAGGUUGACAUCAGCGUUUUAGAAGUAACACCGAGCAAUCGAACAUGAAACCGACGUUUUAGAGGUAACGCCGAGUCAGUGAAGAUCAACAUCGGCAUUUUAGAAGUAAUGCCGAGCGAUAGAACACGAGAUCAGCGUCUUGGAGGCAACGCCGAGUGGUUGAAGGUCGGCGCCGGCAUUUUAGAAGUAAUGCCAAGCGAUUUGAACACGAGGUCGUCGUUUUAGAGGCAACACCGAGUGGUUGAAGGUCGGCGCCGGCAUUUUAGAAGUAAUGCCAAGCGAUUUGAACACGAGGUCGUCGUUUUAGAGGCAACGCCGAGUGAUUGAAGGUCGAUGUCGGCGUUUUUAGAGGUAAUGCCGAGCAAUAGAAUACAAGUUCGUCGUUUUGGAGGCAACGCCGAGUGAUUGAAGGUCGGCGUCGGCAUUUUAGAAGUAAUGCCGAGCGAUUGAACGCGAGGUCAGCGUUUUAGAGGCAACGCCGAGUGAUUGAAGGUCAGCGUCGGCAUUUUAGAAGUAAUGCCGAGCGAUUGAACGCGAGGUCAGCGUUUUAGAGACAACGCCGGGUGAUUGAAGGUCGAUGUCGGCGUUUUUAGAGGUAAUGCCGAGCAAUAGAAUACAAGUUCGUCGUUUUGGAGGCAACGCCGAGUGAUUGAAGGUCGGCGUCAGCAUUUUAGAAGUAAUGCCGAGCGAUUGAACGCGAGGUCAGCGUUUUAGAGGCAACGCCGAGUGAUUGAAGGUCAGCGUCGGCAUUUUAGAAGUAAUGCCGAGCGAUUGAACGCGAGGUCAGCGUUUUAGAGACAACGCCGGGUGAUUGAAGGUCGACGUCGGCAUUUUAGAAGUAAUGCCGAGCGACUGAACGUGAGGUCAGCGUUUUAGAGACAACGCCGAGUGAUAGCCGGCCGCACGAGUUAUUUUGAGGAUAAUAACCGAGUGAUGAAAUGGCGCGCCGGCUUUUUUGGAAAUAACUGUCGGAUGUCCACGUGGCAUGCUGGGAUUUCGGAAAUAACCGCCGGGUGAUGACUGGGCACUUUUUGAAAGGGAAUCUGGCUCAAGAAUAUCCCAUAAGAGUUGCGCUUUUAGCCGCCUUUGCUUUCCGUGCCCUAGUUCUUGCAUUCCCGCAUCUGAAUCUUCUCUGCCACUCGCCCCCUACUCUGUUCGCCAGUGAGAAGCAGGAUGGCGCCCAAGAGGAAAACUGCGAACUCGUCUGCUGCAGUGAUCCCCGCAAUCGACCCCAACAGUCAGUUACCCUUCGCAGGUAAUCACAUGUCUGUUAUUUCUGAAGCUGAGCUUCUCCGCCUCGUCUCCAUCGGGGUUCUUCCUCCGCGGGAACUCUGUUCUUGGCGGAUUUGCCACGGGACUACUGUCCCAACCGAAAAUACCCACGAGUCAGUAGUUUAUGCUCCUUUUCUUCUUCGCGGCCUCGGCCUUCCCAUCUCUCCUUUUUUCCGUGGCCUUCUUGACUUUUAUCAUAUCAACUUGACCCAUUUGAACCCUAAUUCCAUUCUCCAAAUCUCCAUCUUCGUUCACCUAUGCGAAGCCUACCUCGGUGUGCUGCCGCAUUUCGGUUUGUGGAAGUAUCUGUAUCAUUGCCGCCCUGGGAUGGCCGGGGGGCAACACCAGCUGGUCGGAGGUGCCAGUUUGGAGAUGCGCCGUGGGCGGAAGACCGAGUAUCUUGAGAUUCCCCUCAAAGAUAGCAUUAAAGGAUGGCGUCUGGAGUGGUUUAUAGUUGAUAAUUAUGGAAAUUCUCUCCCCUCCCGGUCAGGAAGACAGCCAGACGUUCGUACUCCGAGUUGGACUGAGUCUCCCAUAGAUCAGGAAGUGGCCGAGGCAGGCGUGUUGCUUACUGAAGUCGGAUUACUGAAAGAGAGAGGUCUGACUGCCGAAGCUGUGGUCACUGAUUUUGUUUUCAAGAACAUUCAGCCAUUGAAAGACAGGGCCUAUCCGGCAUAUCUGUAUCGAGGGCUGGCCGACUCAACUCGGGUUACCAAUAGGAGAAUUCCUUCUGUUGACUUGGUAAGCCGACUUGAAAUGAUCCUCAGGGGUAAAGUUUCAAAUGUUGGUGCUCCAGUGGCAUACUCGGCUUGGAACUUACCUCCUCCCAAAGCUUUCACCCUUUUUGUGUCAAAUCCGCCUGUGACUGAUAGCAAUUUGGGCCUUAGAGUGCGACCCUCCGCUGAGGAAGUCAGUACUUUGGUUGCUUCGCUCGGGGCGAUUCCUGAUGAUGAACGACAGGUUUAUUUUGAAGUGCCUCUGAACCCCAGUGAUGCUGACAUAAAUGACAUGCUUGAUCUGUUAGCUGAGGAUUCGUCCGAUGCUGCUCCUGAUGGUACCUUGGCAGUGGUGCCCCUUCCAGAGGUUGAUACAACUUUGAAUGUCCCGAAACCUAUCAGCACUCGCCCGAGGCGUCCUAGCCGAACCAGUCAGCCCGAGCCUUCUGCUGAUGAGCAAAAGAAAAAGAGAAGACGCCUCCGGCGAGUAUCCAGUUUUGAUGAGGACGCCGGCACUUUAGCUCCUGCUGCUGAAGAAGUGCCUGCAAUUGGUCUUACUGACACUGAUCCCAAUGGGUGUGCCCAAACUAUUGCUAAUCCCAAUGAGAGUGCUGCUUGCGUUGCCGCUGUGGAGGAUGAAGAGGAAGAAGAUGAAGCUCCUUUAACUCAGAAAAACAGUCGGCAGUUCAUUGCCAGCGGUGGAAGUAGUGGAGUUCCUUCUCCUGCUUUGUCUGCCCUUAUUGGUCUGCAAGAACUGUCCAUGGCCAACUUUGAUCAAACUCUAGAGGAUAUGGUCCCAAAAGAUUUGCUAUCAGAGCCUGUGUAUGUUGAUGCAACAAAAACUUGUGCUGCCGUGCCCGAUGCUGGGUUGAGGUCAUCCCGUGCCUCGUCGACCUUAGAGCAUGAUCUCGAGGGUCGGGAUGCUGACUUGGAUUGUCCUGGUCCCAUGGAAGUAGCUGGAGGCCCGUCAACCUUAGAGGUGGUUACGGCAGAGAGCUUGGACCCCUUGAAUAGUGCUGACACGCACCCAGCCCCCGAGGAUGUCGUCGGGGAAAACUUAGCUCGGGUGAAGAGUAUAAGCCACUGCCCAGCCCCCGAGGGUGUUGCCGGGGAUGAUCCGGCUCAAGUGGGCAGUGCCAACUGUGACCCAGCCCCCGAGGGUGUCCGAGCAAGGUCUCCUUCCUGCACUUCCAUGGAUGUUCAUGCGGGUUCACCUCCACACUCUGGCGGUAUGGUGGUGGCCCAAACUCUGGAUCAGGGGGUCGCUUUAGAGGGCAGCAUCCCCACUGGUCUGGCGUUAGGCUCUGUUGAAUGUACUGAGCUCGUUCCUGCUGGUCCGCUGCAAGCUGCUUCGGGUGGUGGUCUGGCACCUAGUUAUCAGCUGAUUUCUUCUGACUUAGGGAUCCCUUCGUUCUUUUCCAACCUCCAGGUACUGUGCUGUACUUUAGCUUGUUCUUUACAUUGCAUGAAUUUUUGUCAUUAUGCUCAUCCGCUCUUCUCAUCAGGCUUUGGUGGAUGGGAUGGCCAGCCAGCUGAAACCGCAGGGUGCUUCCAUCCCAGAAGCGGCUUCAUCUCUUGAGCGUUGGAAUCCGGCGUCGCUUCAUCGUCGUGUAUCCGAGUUGGAGGCGACUAAUGCGGGUUGGCGCCCUUCUUCUUCUUCCUUGCCUUUAUUCGUGGAUUGUUUUACCUUCUGACCUCAUUUCGUUUGAUUACCUCUUGAUAGGAAUGACUCGGCAGAUUGCAGUUCUUGAGGAAAAAUAUUCCCGAGAUCAAGCUGAAAUGGCUCAACGGUGUGCUGACUUCGAGGAGAAGUAUUCUCAGAGCUAGACUGAACUGAAUCAGGUCUCCGCUGCUUUGGAUGACGCCAACGCUCUGAGUUCUUCUCUUCAUGCUCGGCUUGACUCUGAAAAGGUAACUUACAAAACCAUGCUUUGCCUUAUUACAUGCUUGGAUUCUGAAUGAGUUGAUUUUUGUUUGUAGGAAGAAAAACGUAUCCUUGCUGCCUCUCGCGACAAUCUGGACAGAUUGUAUCGAGACUCUAGCAACUCGCUAACCAUCUUGGAGAGGAGCCACCGUUUUACAAUGGAAGAACUGGACAAUCAGCGUUGCAGGCUGCAAGAGUCUGCAGAUGAAGUGACCCGCCUUGCGCAAUUGCUAUCAGCGAAGGAUGCCACCAUCAAGGGACUCCGAGCUUCUAAGAAAUCCAUUGCUCAGGAGUUAGAAGCUGCUCAGCUGGCUGCUAGAGUUGCCGAAGAAACUGCUGUCACUCUCAAAGCUCAGCGUGAUAAAGCCCUGGACAAGGCAAUUCGGGCGGGACGAAUCUUGAUGAGAAGACCCGGCGUGAUUGUCCCUGAAGACAUAAUAGCCGAUGUGAAUGCUGCCCCCGAUUCUUCGAAUCGCCCUUCUUCGUCAGUCGUUCCUGAGAAAGACAUUGGAAAAUAGAGAAACAUUUCGCGUGCUAUGAGCGCGCGGUUAGCAUGAUCAAGUACUCGUUAGGGGUUAUCGGCUUAUCAUUCGAAUGACAUGAUCACAGAAUUUAUUAAUUUGCAAAUUUGUGGUAAUGCUGCAUGAUGAUUAUGAAGUUUGUUUUCGGGAUAUGGAAGUCAUCCCCUGAGUUGCGUAAGCGCGAGUAAGCUGCAUCGGCUUGAGCCACCACUGACUUUAGUCGAUAGCUCCGUUAGUAGGGUAUAGUGGUCACCCUGGGUUAAGUAAGCGUGAGCAUGUUGCACCGCCUUAAGUCGUUGCCGACUUAAGUCGAUUGCUCCAUUUGUAGGGCAUAGUGGUCACCCCGAGUUAAGUAAGCGCGAGCAUGUUGCACCGCCUUAAGUCGUUGCCGACUUAAGUCGAUUGCUCCGUUUGUAGGGCAUAGUGGUCACCCCGAGUUAAGUAAGCGUGAGCAUGUUGCACCGCCUUAAGUCGUUGCUGACUUAAGUCGAUUGCUCCGUUUGUAGGGCAUAGUGGUCACCCCGAGUUAAGUAAGCGUGAGCAUGUUGCACCGCCUUAAGUCGUUGCCGACUUAAGUCGAUUGCUCCGUUUGUAGGGCAUAGUGGUCACCCCGAGUUAAGUAAGCGUGAGCAUGUUGCACCGCCUUAAGUCGUUGCCGACUUAAGUCGAUUGCUCCGUUUGUAGGGCAUAGUGGUCACCCCGAGUUAAGUAAGCGUGAGCAUGUUGCACCGUCUUAAGUCGUUGCCGACUUAAGUCGAUUGCUCCGUUUGUAGGGCAUAGUGGUCACCCCGAGUUAAGUAAGAAUGCAAGUCAAUCGUAAAUGAGCCGGGUAUCUUUGAAGUCUCUCUUUAUUGAUGACGUAUUUUCAUUAUACAGAAUACAUGGUCGCCCCAGCUGUUUUGAAAUACAGCUAGGGGUAAAACUUUCGAAGGUGCUCUAUGUUCCAGGAGUUCCCAACUUCUGUGCCAUCCAUCUGGGUGAGGCGAUACGAUCCGGGCCGAGUGACCUCUGCUACUAUGAAAGGCCCUUCCCAUAAGGGUGAUAACUUGUGCCGUCCCUCCCCCGUUAGAAUUCGGCGGAGGUCGAGGUCUCCUAUCGAAAAGAAACGUUGCCGCACAGCUUUGUCGUGAUAUCGCCUUAGAGUCUGCUGGUACCGUGCUGAUUGGAUUACUGCAUUCAGUCGUUCUUCCUCAAGUACAUCGAUAUCCUCUAGCCUGGUGGCCUCGGUUUCUGCUAUGCUUUCGAAGAUCAAUCUUGGCGCCCCAAAUUUGAGAUCAGCAGGUAGCACUGCCUCUGUCCCAUAGACCAUGAAGAAAGGGGUGUUUCCAUGCAGGGCUCGGCUAGGUUGGGUUCUCAGGCUCCAAACAACAUAAGGCAGUUCUCUUAUCCAUUUUCCUGCGAAUUUUUCAUUCUUAUCGAAGACCCUUUUCCUGAGUGCCUCCAAUAUCAUUCCGUUGGCUCGCUCAACCUGCCCGUUGGCUCUUGGAUGUGCUACGGAUGCGUACUUGAUCUGAAUGUUCUUUUGCUCGCAGAAGUCAAAGAAUUCUGAGCUGGUGAAGUUGGAUCCCAAGUCAGUAAUGAUACUGUUUGGUAUCCCGAAUCUAAAUAUUAUGCUUUGUAUGAAUUCCACGGCUUUAGCAGAGGUUAAAGAAGCAAUGGGCUGAAACUCUAUCCAUUUAGUGAAUUUGUCAAUUGCCACCAAUACAUGGGUAUAUCCUCCUUGAGCUUUUUUGAAAGGUCCAAUCAUAUCCAGUCCCCAGCAUGCGAAAGGCCAAGUUACUGGUAUGGUCUGCAGCUGCUGUGCUGGCAUGUGCUGUUGCUUUGACAGGUAUUGGCAAGCUUCGCAUCUCUGAACUAACUUGGCUGCAUCGUCCUUCGCCAUCGGCCAAUAGAAUCCUGACCUGAAAACCUUCCCGACUAGUGUUCUGGAUGCUGCAUGUACUCCACAUUGCCCUGCAUGGACUUCCUCCAGAAGCUGCUUCCCGGUGGACGGGAGAACGCACUUCAUGAGGACGCCUGACGCGCCCCUCCUGUAUAAUACCUCCCCAAUGAGUGUAUAGUGACCCGAUUGUCUGGCAAUACGCUCUGCCGAGUUCUUGUCAUCUGGUUCUUCUUCAUUUUUUAUAUAUUUAAUAAUCGGCUGUCUCUAGUCAUUAGAGUCUGACUCGGGUUGAUCUAUGAUGUUGCACUCUUCUGUUUGAUCCAUUGAGAUACUCGGCUGCAGGAUUUCUUGUACGAAGACUUCGGGUGGGACCUGAGUUCGACCGGAUCCGAGCUUGGACAAUACAUCGGCUGCCGUGUUCCGAUCUCUUUCUACAUGAUGAAAUUCCAGACCCUCGAAUUUAUCUUCCAGCUUUCGGACGGCAGCGCAAUAUUUUCCCAUUGAAUCACUUGAACAAUCCCAUUCUUUGUUUAUCUGGCUGAUGACUACCAGAGAAUCUCCAUAUACCAUCAAUCUUUUGACGCCCAGUGAUAUGGCGAUGUUUAAUCCGUGUAUCAAGGCUUCAUACUCGGCUGCAUUGUUAGAGGCUGGGAAUAGCAACUGGAGAGCGUACUUGAGGUGCUCGCCUCCAGGUGCGGUGAAGAGAAUCCCUGCUCCUGCUCCCUGCAGCUUCAGCGAGCCAUCGAAAUACAUUCGCCAUACUUCUGCAGUUUCUGGAUUGUCUGGUACUUGCUGUUCUGUCCAUUCCGAUACGAAAUCAACCAGUGCUUGAGUUUUGAUGGCGGUGCGAGGUCGGAACUCGAUAUCGUGGGAUCCCAACUCGCAAGCCCACUUGGCUAUUCGGCCAAUGGCUUCCUUGUUGUGAAGAAUGUCCCCUAUUGGAAAACCAGUAACUACUAUGACUUUGUGGUCGUCAAAGUAGUGACGCAGCUUGCGGGCAGUUAGAAGUACUGCAUAUAAUAGUUUCUGAACCUGAGGAUACUUUUUCUUCGAGGGGCCUAGAACUUCACUGAUGAAGUAAACAAGAUGUUGUACUGGAUAGGCAUGUCCUUCUUCUACUCGCUCGACUACCAACGCAGUGCUUACCACGUGAGUUGUGCAAGAGAUAUACAGCAACAGAUCUUCAGCCGGUUGAGUCGGCAUAGCUCGCCGGGGUGGUUUCAAUACCGGUGGUGUUGUCAAGAAUUUUUUCAGUGCGUCUAGAGCUUCCUGUGCUUCUGAAGUCCACUGAAACUUGUCCACCUUCUUGAGUAGCUUGUAAAAUGGCAAACCUUUCUCUCCCAGCCUGGAUAUAAAUCUGCUCAGAGCUGCCAUACAUCCAGUGAGUCGCUGAACCUUCUUUUGUGACCGAGGAGCUUCCAUCUUCAUGAUAGCUUCAAUCUUAUCUGGAUUAGCCUCAAUUCCCCGGUGGCUGACGAUAAAUCCGAGCAACUUUCCUGCUGGUACCCCGAAAACACAUUUUUCAGGAUUGAGCUUCCAUCUAUAUCUUCUCAGGCUGUUGAAAACCAGCUGUAAAUCUUCGAUGAAGUUUUCCGAAUUCUCUGUUUUGAUCACCACGUCAUCUACGUAAGCCUCCACACGCUUGCCCCAGUGAUCGGCUAAGCAUGUUUGAAUGGCUCUCUGAUAAGUCGCGCCAGCGUUUUUGAGGCCGAACGGCAUGGAGGUAUAACAGAAAGCACCAAACGGAGUGAUGAAUGCUGUUUUUUCCUCGUCUUCUUUGGCCAAACUGAUCUGAUGAUACCCGGAAUAGCAAUCUAAGAAAGACAGCACAGAACAUCCAGCGGUGGAAUCCACCGCCUGAUCUAUCCUCGGGAGCCCGAAGGGAUCCUUCGGACAGUGUUUGUUGAGAUCAGUAUAGUCGACGCACAUGCGCCAAUCCACUUUAUUCUUUUUGAGUACAAGAACAGGGUUGGCCAACCACUCAGGGUGUAAUACUUCUCUAAUAAAUCCAGCCGCGACCAAGCGGGCUAAUUCGGCACGAAUGGCCUCUCUCUUGUCGGGCGUGAAACGACGUAGCUUUUGCCGGAUCGGCCUCGCCUGGGGAUAGACCUUCAAUUUGUGCUCGGCCAGUUCUCUUGGGACUCCCGGCAUAUCCACAGGUUGCCAUGCGAAUACGUCUCGGUUAUCUUGCAAGAACUGGACGAGCGCGCUUUCCUAUUUGUCAUUCAAACUGGAGCUGAUGAUGGCCGUUUUGCGCUCAUCAGCGAAUCCCAGGUUGAUUCGCUUGGUUUCUUCAAUCGGCCGCAUAGAGGUCACGGCCUGAGCUUCGUUCGCCGGUACGGCGAGGUCUUCCUUAGGCUUAGAGUUCGCCGUCGUAGAAGGAACCGUUGACGGCUUGGUGGUGAGGGCUGCUUGGAUGGCCACUCGGAAACAUUCUGUGGCGCCUUGGAAGUCGGCGCGCACAGUUAUGAUUCCUUGCGGUCCUGGCAUCUUCAGUAUCAUGUAUGUAUAGUGCGGAAUGGCCAUGAAUUUAGCCAGCCCCGGCCUCCCGAUGAUGGCGUUGUACCCGCAGUCGAAGUUCGCCACCUCGAACCUCAGGAACUCGGUUCGGUAGUUCUCCGGAGUUCCGAAGGUGACCGGCAUGUAGAUGUGGCCCAGCGGGUAUUCCCCUUCCGUCGGCACGAUGCCGAAGAAAGGGGUGUCCGACUCGCGGAGCUCUUUGAGGUGAACUCCCAAGCCUUGGAGUGUCCGGGGGAAAGUGACGUUGAUGCUGCUCCCCCCGUCCACUAGCACCUUCUUUACCCGGCUUUCUCGGAUCACCGGAUCGACGAGAAGCGGGUAUUUGCCUGGAUGGUCGAAGUUGAGCCAUUGAUCCUCCCGAGUGAAAGUGAUCGGGUGCUCCGACCACCGGUAUGGGGCGGGAGGACCGGUGGUCGCCACCAGUAUCUGGCGGUCGUUGAGCUUUUGUUGUCUUCUGUUUUCCUGCGACCCAUGUCCGCCGAAGAUGACGUUGACCUCCCUGUCAACGCGCAGGAAAGCUCCUCCUCCCCCCUCCUCCUGCUGAUGGGGCUGUCGUGGUUCAUCUGGUCCUCCCCUCGGCGGAGGAGGCGGUAGAGGUUGGAAGGGUCGGCCGUGCCCGACAGAGUGCUUGAAGUCCCGGCAGUUACGAAGAGUGUGGCGCAUGUCCUUGUGGUACGGGCACUGGGCGUCGAGGAUGUCGUCCAGCGUGCGCUCGCCUCCACGAGGUCCUCCUCGGGCGCGAGAGGCGGGUGGUCCGGCGGCGUGUACUUCUUCACGAGGCCUCUUCUCCCAGCGUUUGUCGGGUGGUUGGUUCGCGUCACGUCGCGGUGCUGCCGGUGCAGGCUUUGCUCCCCCAAUGAGAUCCUGGGCCCGCUCGUCAGUGGUGAUGUAGAGGUCAGCUUCCCGGAACAGCUCCUCGGAGGUAGUCGGUGCUUUUUGUAGUAUGGCUCGGACGAAAGCCGAGUCAUUGGAUCCUCUGUAGAAGUCCUCGAUCACGGCCGCCUCCGUGACUUCGGGGAUACAGUUUCUCAUGGUCUGGAACCUUUUGAGGUACGACCGGAGAGUCUCGUCCCCCCGGCGCUUGAUGGAUUUGAGGUCCCAUGGUUGCGCUGGUUUGUCGGAGAGGGACUGGAAGUUGGCGGUGAAACGUCGACUGAAGUCUCCCCAGUCGUCGAUGCAGUGUCGGGGUAGAUGCCGUAGCCACUGCAGCGCGUCUUGCCCAAGGACAAUGGGCAAAUACGCGGUCAUGACGUCUUCAGAUGCCCCGGCAGCCCGAGCAGCGGUGGUGUAGACGGCUAACCAACCCCCUGGAUCCUGCUUAGGUUCAUAUUUGUCGACAUUGGAUACCUUGAAGUUGGGAGGCCAUUGGAUGGCCCUAAGGCGCGGAGUAAGAGCAGAUACUCCGCACGUGUCCUCCUGCCGUCGGGAACGAUGUCUGUCCCGGGGAGGGGAGUGGUGGUGGUGGUUCCUCGACCGUCCCCGGGUGGUUCCGCCAGUUGAGGCUGUUGCCGACUCAGUCCUGGUGGCCUGGCUUUGAGUCGGGAAGCCGUGAUCUCGGUCAUACUCCUCCCGACGGCGAAUUUCGUUUUCAUGCCGCCGUUCACGCAAAGCAUUGAUAGAGCUUCGCGCGUCUCGUCGACUGUUGAUGGCGUGUCGCAAAUCGUUCGGCGGGUGAGCGAGUGGUAGAAGAUGGUUGGCCGCCUGAGUGAACAGGCGUCGGUAUCCCUCGGUGUCGGGAGUCCGAGGAAGUCCGUCAGCUAUCCGAGCUAGAACGCCCCCGACUUUGCUCGGCGUGUUCAUAGCUCGGGCGAAGUCGGGGUUCAGGUUGCGCCUGAAGAGCGGGUUCUCCCGGCGUUGCCUCGCAUCCUGCUCGGCUUGCUCCUGAGUCCAUCGGCGAUCACGUCGUCGGGAGUUCCUUCGUUCCCUGAAGACGCGUUCUUCCGGGGUUUCUCCUAUCUCCGAGACCUCGUCUCGCGAGACAGGCUGCUCCGGAUCCCGUUCUCCGGUCGCGUGAUGUCGUCGAACGUUCCUGCGUCGGUUCCUCCGUCGACGGGAUUCUCGUUGAGGUGGUUCUUCUCCAGGCGCAGUCGGUUCGUCGUCAGAGACGGCGGGCGACUCCACUCUCCCGAUGAAGAGGACGUCGGGGUAGAAUGGUGCUGCUGUCGUGGCGACUUUCUUUCCGUUCUCCUUUGAGGCCGGAGGAACGGAAAGAACGACUUGCCUUUCUCUGGUCUCCUUCUUUCUCGCGAUCUGUGUCCAUUCCUUCGUCGGGGAAGUAGACAGCGGAGUCUUCCGGGUCAGCGAGCUUCCAGCUCCAGCCUUCCCGGAGAUAAUCUUUUUCCGAAGAGCCGGAGGUAGCGUCUUUCCAGCAUUUUCGGAGUUUGUUGGAGGAGACUUCUUUUCCGGCAGAUCUGCGAGGCGGUGUAGAAUUCCCUCUUCAUCUGCUACAGAUGAGAUUGUCCCGAAGCAGAAUACAGAUCCGGGACGCACGGUGAUCUUGCUGUGGAAGGUGACGGCCAUUGAGCUAGCUUGGAUCGUCGACACACCCCCUACCUGGCGCGCCAGCUGUCGGUGUUUUGGGUCCGACCACACACCUGGGGUUACCCCCCAAGGUGUUUUUAGGAGUAGGACGGUGUCAACGACUGUAGCAAAAUGGUUCGUGCCGAUUGCACGAGGGACAGCAGACAAGAUUUGCAGGUUCGGGCCGCUUAGAGAUGCGUAACACCCUACGUCCUGAUGAGUAUUUGAGUGUGGUUACAAGAGGGCUCUCUGGAACGGAGGCACAGAGAGUUUACAUGGGUGGCUAAGUAAAGUAGGGUCGAUCGAUCUGAAGGGGUGCCCCCUAGGCCUUAUAUACUCGACCGUGGGGCAGUACACGUGGAUAUGAUAACAACAAGUAGCUGAAAGAUAGUAAACCUCUUGAGUUUAUCCCUACGUAACCCUUGCCGACUUAUCCUCGCAUGGCUCUGUUGCAUGGGGGCUUCAGCGCAGGAAAGUCGGGUCUCUGUUGCGAUUUACUCGCCCGACGUUGUGGGCCGUCCGGGUUUGCUCCAAUCCAGUCUUACGUCUUCUCUGCUUCGUUGAUUGUCUCUCCCCAGGCCCACGAAAGAACGACCUUACGAUUUAUUGGGCCCUUGGGCCUUUCGUGAGGUCUUUUAUCUCUUUAGUGGACCCGGGGGAUAUCUAUCCCCCACACUCACUAUCUUAAAAGCCGGGAGGUUGCUCAACAUAGACCUCCUCUUUGAUUGGUCCAUUUAGGAAGGCACUUUUCACGUCCAUUUGGUAAAGCUUGAAGCCAUGGUAAGUAGCAUAGGCAAGUAAAAUGCGAAUUGACUCAAGCCUAGCUACGGGUGCAUAGGUUUCACCGAAAUCCAAACCUUCGACUUGUGAAUACCCCUUGGCCACAAGUCGGGCUUUGUUCCUUGUCACCACACCAUGCUCAUCUUGUUUGUUGCGGAAGACCCACUUGGUUCCUACAACAUUUUGGUUAGGACAUGGAACUAAAUGCCAUACCUCAUUCCUUGUGAAGUUGUUGAGCUCCUCUUGCAUCGCCAGCACCCAAUCCGAAUCUUGAAGUGCUUCCUCUACCCUGUGUGGCUCAAUAGAGGAAACAAAAGAGUAAUGUUCACAAAAGUGAGCAACACGAGAUCGAGUGGUUACCCCCUUAUGAAUGUCGCCGAGGAUGGUGCUCACGGGGUGAUCUCGUUGGAUUGCUUGGUGGACUCUUGGGUGUGGCGGUCUUGGACCCUCAUCAUCUUCCUUGUCUGGAUCAUUGGCAUCUCCCCCUUGAUCAUUGUCCUCCUCUUGAGGUGGCUCCUCUUGAUCUUCAUCAUCAUCAUCUUGAGCUUGAUCCUCAUCUUGAGUUGGUGGAGAUGCUUGCAUUGAGGAAGAUGGUUGAUCUUGUACUUGUGGAGGCUCUUUGGAUUCCUUAGGACACACAUCCCCAAUGGACAUGUUCCUUAGCGUGACGCACGGAGCCUCUUCAUCAUCUAGCUCAUCAAGAUCAACUUGCUCUACUUGAGAGCCGUAAGUCUCAUCUAACACAAUGUCACAAGAAACUUCAACUAGUCCAGUGGACUUGUUAAAGACUCUAUAUGCCCUUGUGUUUGAAUCAUAUCCUAGUAACAAGCCUUCUACAGCCUUAGGAGCAAAUUUAGAUUUUCUACCUCUUUUAACAAGAAUAAAGCAUUUGCUACCAAAGACUCUAAAAUAUGAAACAUUGGGUUUUUUACCGGUUAGGAGUUCAUAAGAUGUCUUCUUGAGGAUUCGGUGAAGAUAUAACCGGUUGAUGGCGUAGCAAGCGGUGUUGACCGCCUCGGCCCAAAACCGAUCCAAAGUCUUGUACUCAUCAAGCAUGGUCAUUGCCAUGUCCAAUAGAGUUCUAUUCUUCCUCUCCACUACACCAUUUUGUUGUGGUGUGUAGGGAGAAGAGAACUCAUGCUUGAUGCCCUCCUCUUCAAGAAAGUUUUCGAUUUGUGAGUUCUUGAACUCCGUCCCGUUGUCGCUUCUAAUCUUUUUGAUCCUUAAGCCGAACUCAUUUUGAGCCCGUCUCAAGAAUCCCUUUAAGGUCUCUUGGGUUUGAGAUUUUUCUUGCAAAAAGAACACCCAAGUGAAGCGAGAAUAAUCAUCCACAAUUACAAGACAAUACUUACUCCCGCCGAUGCUUAUGUAAGCUAUCGGGCCGAAUAGGUCCAUGUGGAGUAGCUCGAGCGGCCUGUCGGUCGUCAUGAUAUUCUUGUGUGGAUGAUGAACACAAACUUGCUUCCCUGCUUGACAUGCGCUACAAACCCUGUCUUUCUCAAAAUGAACAUUGGUUAGUCCCAAAAUGUGCUCUCCCUUUAGAAGCUUAUGAAGAUUCUUCAUCCCAACAUGAGCUAGUCGGCGGUGCCAGAGCCAACCCAUGUUAGUCUUAGCAAUUAAGCAAGUGUCGAGUUCAGCUCUAUCAAAAUCUACUAAGUAUAGCUAACCCUCUAACACUCCCUUAAAUGCUACUAAAUCAUCACUUCUUCUAAAGACAGUAACACCUAAAUCUGUAAAAAGACAGUUGUAGCCCAUUUUACAUACUUGAGAAACGGAAAGCAAAUUGUAAUCUAAAGAAUCUACAAGAAAAACAUUGGAAAUAGAAUGGUCAGGUGAUAUAGCAAUUUUACCCAAUCCUUUGACCAAACCUUGAUUUCCAUCCCCGAAUGUGAUAGCUCGUUGGGGAUCUUGGUUUUUCUCAUAGGAGGAGAACAUCUUUUUCUCCCCUGUCAUGUGGUUUGUGCACCCGCUAUCGAUGAUCCAACUUGAGCCCCCGGAUGCAUAAACCUAUAAAACAAUUUUAGGCCUUGUUCUUAGGUACCCAAACGGUCUUGGGUCCUUUGACAUUAGAAACAAGAACCUUGGGUACCCAAACACAAGUCUUUGACCCCUUGUGUUUGCCUCCAACAUAUUUGGCAACUAUUUUGCCUGAUUUGUUAGUAAGCACAUAAGAUGCAUCAAAAGUCUUAAAUGAAACAUUAGGUUCAUUUGAUGCAAUAGGAGUUGUCUUCUUAGGCAAUUUAUCACGGGUUGAUUGCCUAGAACUAGAUGCCUCACUCUUAUACAUAAAAGCAUGAUUAAAACCAGAGUGAGACUUCCUAGAGUGAAUUCUCCUAAUUUUAUGCUCGGGAUAACCGACAGGGUACAAAAUGUAACCCUCGUUAUCCUGAGGCAUGGGAGCCUUGCCCUUAACAAAGUUAGAUAAUCUUUUAGGAGGGGCAUUGAGUUUGGCAUUGCCUCCCUAUUGGAAGCCAAUGCCAUCCUUAAUGCCAGGGCGUCUCCCACUAUAGAGCAUACUACGAGCAAAUUUAAAUUUCUCAUUUUCUAACUCGUGCUCGACAAUUUUAGCAUCUAAUUUUGCUAUAUGAUCAUUUUUUGUUUAAUCAUAGCAAUGUGAUCAUGAAUAGCAUCAAUGUUAACAUCUCUACAUCUAAUGCAAAUUGUAACAUGCUCAACGGUAGAUGUAGAGGGUUUGCAAGAAUUUAGUUCAACAAUCUUAGCAUGUAAAAUGUCAUUCUCAUCUCUAAGAUUGGAAAUGAAAACAUUGCAAACAUCUAAUUCCCUAGCCUUAGCAAUUAAUUUUUCAUUCUCAUUUCUAAGGUUAGCAAGAGAGGCAUUCAAUUUUUCAAUCUUAGCAAUUGAACUAGCAUUAUCAUUUCUAAGAUUGUUAAUUGAAUCAUCACAAACAUUUGAUUUUUCAAUCUUAGCAAUUAAUUUGGCAUUUUCAUUUCUAAGGUUGGAAAUAACAUCAUGGCAAGUGCUUAGCUCACUAGAUAAUUUUUCACAUUUUUCUACCUGUAGAGCAUAAGCAUUUUAACCUUAACAUGCUUUUUAUUUUCUUUAAUUAGGAAGUCCUUUUGGCUAUCCAAGAGUUCAUCCUUCUCAUGAAUAGCACUAAUUAAUUCAUUUAAUUUUUCCUUUUGUUGCAUGUUUAAGUUGGCAAAAAGAGUAAGCAAGUUAUCCUCAUCAUCACUAGAAUUAUCCUCAUCACUAGAAGUUGCAUACUUAGUAGAGGAUUUUGAUUUUACCUUCUUCCUUUUAUCGUCCUUUGCCAUGAGGCAUUUGUGGCCGACGUUGGGGAAGAGAAGUCCCUUGUUGACGGUGAUGUUGGCGGCGUCCUCGUCGGAGGAGGAGUCGGUGGAGCUCUCGUCGGAGUCCCACUCCCGACAAACAUGGGCAUCGCCGCCCUUCUUCUUGUAAUAUCUCUUCUUCUCCUUUCUUCUCCCCUUCUUGUCAUCGCCCCUGUCACUAUCACUUGAUAAAGGACAUUUAGCAAUGAAAUGACCGGGCUUACCACACUUGUAGCAAACUUUCCUGGAGCGGGGCUUGUAGUCCUUCCCCCUCCUUUGCUUGAGGAUUUGGCGAAAGCUCUUGAUGAUGAGCGCCAUCUCCUCAUUGUCGAGCUUGGAGGCGUCGAUGGGGACCCUACUAGGUGUAGAGUCUUCUUUCUUCUCCUCCGUUGCCUUGAAUGCAACGGGUUGUACAUCGGGUGUGGAGGAGGCGCCUUGCUCGAUGAUUUUCUUGGAGCCUUUGAUCAUCAACUCAAAGCUCACAAAUUUUCCUAUCACUUCCUCAGGAGACAUUAGCUUAUAUCUAGGAUCACCACGAAUUAAUUGAACUUGAGUGGGAUUAAGAAAUACGAGUGAUCUAAGAAUAACCUUGACCAUUUCAUGGUCAUCCCACUUGGUGCUCCCGAGGUUGCACACUUGGUUCACCAAAGUUUUGAGCCGGUUGUACAUUGCUUGUGGCUCUUCCCCUUGGUGAAGCAUGAAGCGACCGAGCUCCCCCUCGAUCGUUUCCCUCUUGGUGAUCUUGGUCACCUCGUCUCCUUCAUGUGCGGUCUUGAGCACGUCCCAAAUCUCUUUGGCACUCUUCAACCAUUGCACCUUAUUAUACUCCUCUCGACUUAGAGAGGCAAGGAGUAUAGUAGUGGCUUGGGAGUUGAAGUGUCGGAUUUGUUCGACCUCCUCCGAAUCAUAAUCCUUGUCCCCUUCUUUUGGUACCUACGCUCCAUACUCAACCAUAUCCCAUAUGCUUUUGUGGAGUGAGGUUAGGUGAUGCCUCAUUUUAUCACUCCACAUAGAAUAAUCUUCACCUUCAAGCAUAGGUGGUUUGCCUAAUGGAACGAAAAGUAAUGGAGUGCAUUUUGAAAUACGAGGAUAGCGAAGGGGCAUCUUACUAUACUUCUUGCGCUCAUGGCGUUUAGAAGUUGCGGAUGCCGAUUCCGAGCCGGAGGUAGAGGGUGACGAAGAGUCGGUCUCGUAGUAGACUACCUUCUUCAUCUUCUUCUUCUUGUCACCCUUCCGUUGGGACUUGAUGGAGGAAGAGGAUUCCUCCUUGUGCUUGUGGGCGGACUCCCUUGAGUGCAUUCUCCCCGAGCUUGCGGACUUGUCGCCGGUCCCGAUCUCCAUCUUGGCGGAUGCUCCCGAUAUCACUUCGAGCGGUUAGGCUCUAAUGAAGCACCGGGCUCUGAUACCAAUUGAAAGUCACCUAGAGGGGGGUGAAUAGGGCGAAUCUGAAAUUUACAAACUUUAAGCACAACUACAAGCCGGGGUUAGCAUUAGAAAUAAAAACGAGUCCGAAAGAGAGGGCGAAAACAAAUCACAAGCAAAUAAGGUGGAUGACACGGUGAUUUGUUUUACCGAGGUUCGGUUCUUGCAAACCUACUCCCCGUUGAGGUGGUCACAAAGACCGGGUCUCUUUCAACCCUUUCCCUCUCUCAAACGGUCACUUAGAUCGAGUGAGCUUCUCUUCUCAAUCAAACGGGACACUAAGUCCCCACAAGGACCACCACACAAUUGGUGUCUCUUGCCUUGGUUACAAUUGAGUUGAAAUCAAGAAAGAAUGAGGAAGAAAAGCAAUCCAAGUGCAAGAGCUCAAAUGAACACAAGUAUCUCUCUCUCUCACUAGUCACUAUUUGAUUGGAAUUGUCUUUCGACUUGGGAGAGGAUUUGAUCUCUUUGGUUGUGUCUUGUAUUGAAUGCUAUAGCUCUUGUAUGAGGUGUGAAGGCUGAAAACUUGGAUACCUUGAAGUGUGGUGGUUGGGGGGUAUUUAUAGCCCCAACCACCAAAAGAACCGUUGGUGAGGGCUUCUAUCGUAUGGCGCACCAGACAGUCCGGUGCGCCACCGGACACUGUCCGGUGCACCAGCCACGUCACCAGGCCGUUGGAUUCUGACCGUUGGAGCUUCUGACUUCUGGGCCACCGGACAGUCCGGUGGUGCACCGGACAGGUCCUGUAGACUGUCCGGUGCGCCUUCUGGCUCUGCUCUGACUUCUGCGCGCACUGUAGCGCAUUAACUGCUCCCUGCAGACAACCGUUGGCGCAAAGUAGCCGUUGCUCCACUGGCACACCGGACAGUUCGGUGCUACACCGGUCAGUUCGGUGAAUUAUAGCGGAGCGGCUCCCAGAAUUCCCGAAGGUGAGCAGUUCGAAGUUGGGUUCCCUGGUGCACUGGACACAGUCCGGUGGCACACCGGACAGUCCGGUGCGCCAGACCAAGGCACACUUCGACAGUCUUUUGCUCUCUUUGUUUAACCCUUUCUUGGUCUUUUUAUUGGUUUGUUGUGAACCUUUGGCACCUGUAAAUCUUAUAAUCUAGAGCAAACUAGUUAGUCCAAUUAUUUGUGUUGGGCAAUUCAACCACCAAAAUCAAUCAGGAAAAGGUGUAAGCCUAUUUCUCUUUCACCCGCCUCCUCCUCGUGGUAAGUACCUCCCAGAGCGCCACUAGCCAAAUUUGUCCCGCCACUGUGUUCGCCUGGGUCCGGCCGCGCUAGCCCACCUCCCUGACCCUUGAGAACCGGAACCGUGGCGGAGAACCACCGUGGAACCUCGUCGGCGGUCUGUUUCCCCGACCCCGUCCGGUUCGCCCCCCCCCCCCCCCCCGUCAGCCGGCCGACGCCGUCGGCCCUCCCCCUUUCUCUAACGCGUGGGCUCGCGCUCACGGUGUCCGCCCGCGCCGUCUGGGCUAGCUCGCCCGUGACGCCGCGUGCCCGCGUUGGGCCAAAAUCCCCCUCGGGCCCAGCUAACCGAGAAUCCCCUCUCUUUUUCCUUUUCCUAUUUUCAUAUAUAUGUAUAUAUGUUGAUAUUUUAUGCACAAAAAAUAGUCCAAAAAUUCUUUAAGUCACAAAUAAUAAUACUUAGAACUUGACACACUAUAGUAGCCAAAAAUGUUUGAUGUAUUGUUGUUGCCUGUUUUGCAAGGUGGAGAAGGGUCCGACCCUCCGGAAAUCGUAGCUCCGAAAGAAGGGUCGAAGCCCGACCUCCCAAAAAUAGAUCUUUCGCGCCAAGAGAACUUUGACGAAGGCAAGUCCAUUCUUCCCUUGAUGCAUAAAUUACCUACUCUUUCUAGCACUGCCUAAGUCGGGAAUAUGGAUUGGAAUCUAUGCAUUGUGAGAUGAGUGAUAGCCUGCAUUAAAGAAUAUCUUUUGGGUACCAAAAUGUGGGUCGAGGCAAUAGUGGUUUUUCUAAAAAGAGAAAUGUUUUCAAAGAAGUGUAUGAUGAAGGGAAUUCACCCUUAUCACCAACUGAGUGGGAUGAUCAGGGACUCCCUGGUUUAGGGGAGGGCCUCAGGUGUUGGCUCGGCCAGGUUAGGUGUGAGCAUGAAGGAUCGUCCCCUCAUAUAAGAAUCGGUUUGUAAUCCUUCACUACCUGUACUCAUGACAAGUACAACCACUCGAGAUUGUAUUGGCGGUCACUCAAUCUGAACUUGUACGGUCCAAACCCUAGGGUUAUGAUGGCUGGGGAGCACCGGGAGGAUAAGGAAGGGGAAUGUUUUGUCCGAUUUGGGCAUGGUGGUGGCCUGACUCCUACCGAUAUAAUCUUUAAGGUAAGGACGUGCAAGGAAGGAAAGAGUUUCGAAUUCGGGUCUCAUUGGCCAUGAGACCGCAGCGCCGGACUAGUGGGUAAAGUGUACACCUCUGCGCAGAGUUUGAAACCUAUUCAAAUAGUCCAUGUCCACUGGUAUGGACGAGUCUGGUGUGGUAUAGCAAUUAGUGUUUUGAUCUUCGUAAAAAGGGAAAGUGUGUGGGUGUUUUUGGAAAUAAAAACUAAGCCACAGGAGCGGUAAGCUCAGUGGUGGUCGAGUGUGAAAAGGUGCUACUCCUCUCUUUUAGGUAAACCAUCAAGUAUCGCCUUUCUCUGAAAAAGAAAUGAGUGACUUCAACUCCACCAUACCAAGCAUGUACCAUAUAUGCCUCUCUCUCUUUACGGGCGGGAUGGGCUUGCGAAAUACCUAGUGUAUUCACACAGAUUUAUCUAUGUUUUUCAGCAGCUGAAGACUUCUUUUCUGCUAUGUUCGAAUAGAAGGGGGCUGUGUCUGCACCAGUCUGCCCGUGGCUUGGGCUAGAUGAUCUUCCACUGUGCUAUGUUUCUAAGCUCGCUAGAGCUUGUAUUUUGGUAUUGUAAUAACUAUUAUUGGAGACUCUGUACUAUUUGAAGAAAUGAAUAUGUUUACUAGCCUCCUGGGACUAGUAAUUAUAUCAAAUUUGAGUCCCAAAGGAUCGGGACGCUUCAAUUAAUACAUAACGGAGUUCUGUACAAAAUAGUUAAAUAAUUACAUCAUAUGAAGACAACGAUCCAGCAACCAUAGUUGACUGGGAGACGACGGCCUAGACCACUCACGAGCUCAUCACAACAUCCUUCACGCACCUCAUCCUGUGGUACCUAUCCUUGACCUAGGGGUGUGAGUACAACAAGGGUGAGCUCACAUACGUUCAUCGCUCAACAAGUUGUGGGGAAUAAUGUGCAUGAACUCACCAAAGGUGGGAGCUCAUGUGAAGUGUAAGUCUUACCAAAGGAGAUGGUUGAAGCUGAACAUUGCUUUUAGAGUUGGUCAAAAUUUUAUUAGUAGUUACUAAGUAUUAGUAGACACCAACCCAAGUAAGUAAGAGAUCAAGAUUAAUAAUAACACCUGCAAUACAAUGCAUCUGACAGAUUAAGUUUAAUUCCAUAAAUUAAUCAUGUGAGUGUCUGAGCCACUCAUGACUGUGAGCACGACUGAUAUACCAGUUUUACACUCUAUUGAGGUUGCACAUCUUUACCCACAAGUCGUGUAUCCCGUCUAGCCAGGGUUUGCAAGGCCCUUAGACACUUCCGAGGUGAAUGGCUAGGGAUCCACUACGAGGCCUUUACAAAGUUACACUAGCUUCAAAAAAACCUGCUACGAUUUAUAAGAAGGGCAAUAUAGGAAUCCCUCGUCUAAAAAACCAUUACAGCAUGAUCGACCCGAGAACCUUCCUAUACGCAGCUCCUCUACCGCCCUUGCCCCUUUCGGGUAAGGUAGUCCUCCACUAGCUUUCCUAAUUAGUCAGCCAAUGACGUCUCAUACCACCCUUGUGGUAGUAAUGUUUUCCUGGGUGGUUCUCCAUGUUCCAAUUAACAUAAUGAUCUUAUCAUGAACAAUAAUCAAUAACUGAAUUGGAACAUGAACAUAAUAUAACAUUACUUUUCCAAAAUCAGGUAUAGCAAUAGCAAAACUACCCAAUAGUUCUUUUGUCUGCAAGGUGUGGGAUAAACAAUGCUAGGGAAGCCUAUUAGGUCCCAUCAAUAUAACCUGAGCAUGUCACAGUGAUUAAUAGGAACAUUAUUAGGUAAAGAAGAGUGAUCAAGGGCACAACUUCCCUUAGAUUCGAGAUUCCCAGGUACUUCACCAACUUGGUCUUCAAGUGACUCCUGACCUCACUUCUAUUCGUAGCAAUACAUACAAAUGGACAAGGAGUACAUAAAAAUAACAUUACACCAAACAUGAGAACAAAUAACGUAAGAAUAUUCUAUGCGCUGCUACGAGGUCGUAGGUUCGAGAAUCACUAAAUUCGGAGUUACGGUUAUAAAUUUAUGGUUUUCGAAGUUUUAAGUGUCUACUAUAAAACAAAUAAGGUACAUGAUUUUAACCAUAGGUUUCAUGGUAAUACAAGGUUACUAGAUGGUAAACAAUAUUAAUAUGAGAUUAAUGUAAUUGUAAUGGAUCAAAAAGGAAUUAAAAUGAAUUAUUUAUGAAUUAAACAAGUUUCUGGAAUUAUUUCUAUACUAGAAAACAUUUUCUGAAGUAAUUUACUCAUUUUAUUUAACCUUUGGGAUGCGGGGACUCAGUUUAUUCCAGAAAACUUGGGGUUCAAUUCAUAAAUAUCGGGGACUCGGUUUUAAUUAUUUCCUAACUGGUUGGAUGGCGGGUUGAUUUGAAAUAAACCAGAGGGCCUCUUUAUAAAGAUGAACAUGGCAAAGGGGUACGGUGGAUUGCUAGCCAUGGGAUCCAAAUCCGACGGCGGCACCUGAACCGGUAUUCUAUCACAGCAGUCGGAUCUAAAAUCAAUGCUCGAGAUUAAAGGAUCCCGCGAUCUGAUCUCGGCCAACAGAUCUGAGAUCAACGACUAUGAUUUUCGAUCACGACGGGGUAUUUGAGAUUCAAUCGUGAGCGCUCAUCACCGGAUCGACGACCAAGGUCGUUUCUCCCCUGCACGAUCCUGUUCACGCGGAACGGGGCUACAACAUCCUGCCCGUGGUGGCAGGCCCACCGGCGAGCGGUGGCUGCUGCGAGGCUAUAGAUGAGUCUUUGAUUGAUGGCUUGAGGUGUUAUGGUGGCAUGUAUUUAUAUAGGCUGGGAGGUGGAUGGUUACAUGAUAGAUCUAAUCUGGUACUUAUCUGUUACAACCAUAUCCUAUAUAUUAGGAACUCUAACAAACUCAAAACUAAAUCCGUUAUAUGAUAGAUCUAAUCUAGUACUUAUCUAUUACAAUCCUAUCUUAGGUGGGUGGUUACAUGACAGAUCUAAUAUGGUACUUAUCGGUUACAAUCAUAUCCUAUCUGUUAGAAACUCUAACUAACUCUUUUAUUACAAUAAUAUCAUUGUUAAUUUGUACUAAUCAUAUUAGACCUUCAAUUUAAAUAAUUCUUAGAAUAUAUUUUUAUUUAAAAUUUUUAAUUAAAUUUUUGAGUGUUAUACGCGAACUGAAAGGAGUAUUUUCUUAAAUAUCUUAUUGUGGUAUCCUAAUUUGUAUCGACUUUACCUAAAGGACGUCGUGUACACACAAACCAAUCAAACAUACAUCGAUCCAUUAUAUUAGCUCAUAUUUCUAAUUUUUGCUUUCUAUUUUAAAUUUAAAAUUGAAGUCUAAUUUAGAGAUGAGUUAAAAUUUCUAUUUCAAGCAUAAAUUGCAACAAACAAAAACUCCACAUGAAUGCAAAGCAUUUUUAUUAAUUAAUUUAUCCAUUUAAGCAAAUGAAAAUUAGUAGGAAUAAUUUAUGUAACAUGUUUUACAAUAAUAAUUAUUAAAGAAAAUAAUUCAAAAACAUAGCCACAUUUUAGAAGUUCAAUAAAAUAAAUUUAUAAUCUUCACAUAUUUAUUUAAAAGGAUAUAAUUUCUUAUGUAAAAUCUAUAUUAAGAGAUAGUUUAACUUAAUUGUUUUUUGGAGAAUAAAUAUUUAACACAAAUGAUAGUUCACAUAAGAAUCUUUUAGGUAAUCUAUAUUUGAAAACACAUUUAUUUAAAUCAUGAAAUGAGUUUUCUUAAUUUAUCCAGAAUAGAAUUUUGGAGUGUUACAUGCAACAAGGCCUAAAAUCUCAUUUGUAGUGAGCAAAUUAAGUAGAUUCAUAUCAAACCCUGGGACUGAUCAUUGCCAUGCACUUGAGCAGGUUAUACGCUACUUGCACAAUAUAAUGAGAUAUGACAUUCACUAUUCUGGUCAGCAUGCAGUACUUGAUAAAUAUAGUAAUUCGAACUGGAUAUAUGUUGUAGACGAGCUUUAUGCCACUAGUGGUUAUGUCUUUACUAUUAGUGGAGGCGUGGUAUCAUGGAGGUCGUGCAAGCAGACCAUCUUGACGUGGUCAACAAUGAAAGCUGAGUUCGCUGCACUUGACACCUCAACUGUUGAGGCAGAAUGGUUAUGUGAACUCUUUAUUGACUUGCUGGUGGUUGAAAAAACAAUAUCGUUUAUCCUUAUGAACUGUGACAACAGACUGUGAUUGCCAAAGUGACAAGUUAUAAGGAUAAUUCCAUCAAGACAUGUCAAAAGACGAUUGAAGUCUGUUAGAAAGUUGAGAAACUCUAGAGUUAUAAGUGCGACUUAUAUUUCAACCGAUAAAAAUCUUGCAGAUCCCUUUAUAAAGGAGCUACCACCUAAUGUGAUAGAAAUCACAUCGAGAGAGUGGGUAUGAGACCUGUAUAAGUUGUCACCGUGGAAACUCAGUCUAUGCGAUCGGAAAUCCCGUGAAUUAGGUCAUGGGAAGAACAAACCAUUGGUAAACUGAGGAUAGUUACUUUUGACCCUCUCUAAGUGAAGAUGCAAUACUCAGACGUUGUAAGGCAGGUUGCCUUUGAGCCUUAAUGUGUUUCUGUUGGCUUUUACUAGCAAAGACAUUGUCCUGCAGAACAUUCUUGAAAGAACAUACCUAUAUGAGUUUGACUAUCUAACAUCGCAGUCUAUGAGAUCUGGGUGAUCUCUAGUAAACUCAUAAAGAGACCUUGGAGUACGAUGGAUAUGCUCAACUGCAGAGGGAACUACUGGUAGCCAGGUACUAGUUAUGGCUAUGAGUGAAACCCGCUCACACAAAACAUGCAAUUCAAGGCAUAGUCCAUUAUUCAAGUUGUGAAUUGGUGUAGCUUGAAGUUCUAUGCAGAAGUUCAAAUUAAUAGCCUCUGUUGAAACACUAGUAUAUUAAACUGUAGUGAAUAGUGGCAAAACUUUAGAUGGACAUUUGAGAUCUAGUGGGGGGUUGUUGGAUUAAUGGGCUUGGCCCAAGUUGAGAAAAUUCAAUUAAAUUCUAGAAAAUCUCAAAAGCUCAUGUAUGGGAGAUAUGGUAAGAGAUGGUGGGAACCAUAGAUUCACAUUGCUAGUCUAAGUUGAGUGAGACUAGCUUAUAUGUGGAGGCAUCCCUCUCCCUUUAAGUUAUGGAUGAGGUGGGAGAGGAUGGAACACCACACGCGCAAGCGCUUGCUCACCUCGCCUUGCCUGGCUUGGCUAGGCUCGAGCUUGGGCACGGGCAGAGGCGAGGGCGUGUGACGUGCGCAUGAAUGGUCUGCCAAAAUUCGGCUCCUUGUCUUGUGGGGACACGACUUCCUUUUGCUAUUUUCUAUUUUUAUUUUUUGUUGUGGUUGCUUUGCUAUUAAGUUUAGAGCCCUCAUCCGGUCACUACUAGAUCGAGACAUGGGUCCUUAUCGGAUCACUUACAGGUCUUAACGUGAGUCCUUAUCCUUAGAUCGAGGGACUACAUGUGGCUCUAUAAAUAGCGCCUAAUAGUCGCAACUAGAUUCAUCCCAACUCACGAAAUCUAGGUUUUGCCUCUCUCUCUUUUGCGUCGUCGUAGUCUUAUUCAUCACGAGCGUCAAUGGGUAUCUGCAAUCAGGAGAGCAGCGAAACUCUGUCUUCAAAAUCCUACACCAGAAGAGGACAAACAAGGUUUUUAGAAAGCAACUUACAAUUGUCUGACGACCGCCACUGUCGUCUUCCCUGCUGCAUCACGGUACCAUCCAGUAUAUCUAAACAUAUACGCCAUCUAAUCUAAUCUUAUAUUUCAGUUUAUUUGUUCUUAUUGAUCUAUUCUUCGUACCGGUUACUUGCAUGAUAUAAGAACAGCAUGCUAUCUAUAUUCGAAAUUCAAUAUAGAAACUAGCAUGCUAUCUAUAUUCGAAAUUCAAUAUAGAAACUAUCUAAUUAUUCAACGGUACUGUUGAGUUUUUUUAUUUAUAUUACGCAUUUAAGUUGUGUCCUUUAUAUAGUUGGAUACCUAGUGAUAGAGUUAGAAACUAGCCUACUCUUUUACGAUAAAUAUAGCAACAUAUUUAUCAAAACCUUAAUUACACAUCAAGAUACACCAUUUUAUUAUAUAGAUUUUGAUAAAUUAGAAAUUAGCAUAGUUUUGUUAAAAUAAAAGUUUCAUUAAAAUAAAAUUAAAAGCCAUAGUAUUAGAAAUAUAUUGUAAGUUAUCUAAUUCACCUUUCUUUUAACUUCACGGUCCGUAAAAUCCAUACACAGCCAAUAUCCAUGGAAGGAAAAGUUCGAUUCAAUGAAAUAGAAGAAAAAAACAUCGUUGAUCCAAAGCAUUAGAUUAUACACAAUGCUGCCAUGGACUCCUCCCCAGUGUCAUUUAGUUUAAGACCAGAUAACAAUUUUUUUGAAGACCAACAACAUACACUUCUCCCACCACACAAGCCAUCACAUCUACACGAAGCCUCGUCAACGACGCUUGGCUCCUUUAGUGUCGGUGAAUCAACUCUUAACGCCACACCUGUAAAAUCCCCCAAAACAACCGAAGCCCAACCUGUAUAUCAUGUGAAAGAAAGGAAUUAACUAGCCCAGAUCCUGUCCAAUCUGUCGACACUCUUCCGGCCACAAUCCAGCUGCUCAAUGUUCCUCUUUGGCCUCUCGAAGAUAUCAACACUUCUCCUGGAUUUCUCGAACUGAUCAAAUGAUAUCUUUAGCUUGUCUACCUUCUCGACGUUGCUAUAUCUAUGUUCAGUGUUUCUCGUCUUAUCUCGAGUUGACCUUGAUUUUUUCCUUUGGUCUGUGCUCUUUCGCGAGGGUUCAAAGAAAUCAGUGCUCUUCCGCGAGGGUUCAAUCCGGUCCACAUUCUCCCUCCAUGCUUGCCUAUGGGAUGGCGAUUUCUCUAGUGAGUGGAAAAAAUUCUUGAGGUGCCGGAUGUAUUCCGGAAAGAGCUCCAAAUCACAGUGCUUUCCUCCCCUGAGCCAUAAGGGCUCAUACUUGUCUUUGCAAAGUUCCCAAAGUUGUUUACCAUGAGACCAAUCCACCACUUCAUCAGCAGUUCCCUACAUUUCAGCAAGAGCUAUGAGCACCAGUAAUGAAUCAAAUAGCAUGCAUAGAUUUGAGCAAAUUAAACCAAGAAAUGUUCAAGUUAAUGUAAAAAAAUGGUGCACUAAAUCCACCCACAAUUAAAUUGCACCACUUCAUCAAGGGUAAAUUACAAACUAAUUCCACAUGCACAACAGUAUCUGCAAUUAUUUGUAUGCUCCAACACACAAGCUCAGAGCAAAUAAUGGUCUGAUGGCACAUUUCAUAUAUUGUUGAAUGUGCCAUUCAAAUGGCAUGACAUGCAAGGGCCUAAUCCCAUGUGGCUAUGUAUAUUUUUUUUUUUCAAAACCCAGGAGAACAUUGCCUCAAUAUAUUAAGAAGAAGAAAAAAUAAAGGUCAAAGAGACCUGAUACAAAGGUCUCCUUAAAGGAGGCCAAAAACACAAAAAAAACUGAAAAAAUCCAUCAAACUCACCCAAGCCACAACCUCUAGUCUUCAGGAAGGAGGGCAGCAAGGCAUUUAGCCCUAGCCACUUCCCAAAACUGCCUCUCCUCCCUAGCUAACCUAAGGGACAAGGCCAAACUAGGAGUACAACCAUGAAAAAACACAACGGUUUCGAAGCUUCCAAAUUGUCCACGCCCCCAAGGCAACAAGGGAGUUGAAACCCUUUCCAGGUUGACCAGUGAUCAUAUCUAAGAUUUGCUCCCACCAAAUCAUGAAGGAUGAAAGCCCUGGGUGAGAAGCCAGUCCAUCAAAACCAAAAGGUUUCAGGUGGUUAAACCAGAACACUUGUGAACACACAACAGACAAGGAUAUGGUCAAGAGUUUCAGCAAGAGUUUCAGCUUCCUGAUCACAUAAGAUAGACCUAGCUGGGUGAUCCAAACCUCUCUAAGCAAGCCUGUCAGCAGUCCAGCAUCUCUUGUUUGCAGCCAGCCAAAGGAAAAACCGACACUUUGGAGGUGCCCAGGUUUUCCACACCUGAUGGUAAUGACCAAAGGAUGUUGAACCAACAAAAAGACCUUCAUAAGGCGACUUAGCCGAAUAUUUGCCAUCUGCAGCAAUAUUGAAUACAUGCUUAUCUUCAACUACAGACUACAACACUAUUUCUGAAAGAAUCUCCCAAAGGUUCAAGUAGUCCACUAUAGCUCCAACAGACAAGGCACCCUUUAUAUCAGAUACCCAUUUUCUGUUGAGGAUUGUCCUCCUAUUAGCAAUCCUUUUAGGAAUGAUGGCAAAUAACCUAGGAGCCAGAUUGCUCACAUUCUGACCCAAGAGCUAUGUGUGCUCUAUUUCCCACUUCUGAAACCAAAACAAUGGAGAAGAAAGACCUUGCCUUUUUAGAAACUUGUAUAGGGAGUUUGCCCAAUGCCUGCCUGGAUUAGUUUUAUGUAGCCACAAUCAUCUCAUACGAAGAGCCCACCGUAAUUCCUUCAAACUAGAAAUUCCCAAACCUCCCAAAUGUGCACACCAUCCCCCAGACAACCAAACAAUGUCCUCCCUUGACAUCUUUACAACCUUUCCAAAGAAAACCUUUCUUAUCUUAUCAACUACAUCUAAUGCCCAUGGAGGAAAAUCAAUGGCCAUAGCCAAAUAGACAAUCAUACUGGUGAGCACAUGUUGUACCAUAAUUCUCCUACCAGCUCUAGUCAUAAGAUCAGCUUUCCAACUUGGAAGACAGUCAGCCACUCUGUCUAUGAUUGAUUGAACCUGUUCCUUGGUCAGCUUGCGAAGGGAGAGAGGGAUUCCAAGAUAUUUGCAAGGGAAAUCAAACCUGUCACAUGGCAAUAAAUUCUGGACCAGCAGUAAGGUCAUCCUCAGAGCACCGGAUGGGGAAAACAUUAGAUUUCUGCUCGUUGUUACGGAGCCUAGAAGCCUUCCCAAACAAAUCCAAAAUACUCAUUGCAAUGGAGAUAUCUGCAGCCGAGGGACUCAGAAAAAUAACAACACCGUCAGCAUACAUAGAGAUCCGAUGGAGUUUAGAUCUUCCAGACAGUUGUUGCAAUAAACCAGAAUCCUCGGCCCUAUUAAAGAGUAGGGCCAAGACGUCCAUUACCAAGAUAUAUAGCAACGAGGAGAGAGGGUUCCCUUGCUGAAGCCCUCUUCUGUGAAUAAUCCUCCUCUCUGGAUACCCGUUGAGAAGGACUUGAGUAGAAGAUGAUGCCAGUAGCCCACAAAUAAUAUCCCUCCAAAUUUGUCCAAAACCAAGCUGCUUCAAGACCUCAAUGAGAAAAGGCCACGAGACCGAAUCAAAGGCCUUGGUGAUAUCCAAUUUAAGGAACAAGCUAGCCUUUUUUUUGUCAGUGUAAGAAUCUGGAAGUCUGUUGUACCAACAUGAAGUUAUCUUAAAUAAACUGUCCUUUAAUGAAGGCACUUUGAUUUGGAGAGAUCAUUCCAUUAAGUCCGCUAGCCAAUCUGUUAGCUAAGAUUUUGAUAAUCAAUUUGCCAAAAUUGUGCACAAGGCUUAUUGGUCUAAAAUCCUUCACAUGAUCAGCCCCCUACUUUUUUGGAAUCAAGGCAAUGUAAGCAGAGUUCAGCUUGCCAAGGUUAUCAAAAUUCUAUUCCAGAUAGCUUGAACUGCAGCCAUGAUAUCAGAUUUGAUAAUAUUCCAACAGGAUUUAUAAAAGCAUCCAGUGAAGCCAUCCGGCCCCGGAGCUUUAUCGGAAGGUAAAAGCUUAAUGGUUUCCCAUACUUCACCUUCUGAACAAGGGGUCUCAAGCUCCUACCAAAUCAUGAUGAGAAAGGCCAAGGGCCUCCAAGUCCACUGUAUGAUCUCUAUCCUGACUUGUACCAAUUAAAUUGAAGAAGAAACCAUCCACUGUUGCUGCCUUGUCCUGAUGACUGGUAAGAAUCACAUCCCCAUCAACCAAAGUAGCAAUAAAAUUCUCUCUUUCGGUGCUUGGCAUGCAAGUGGAAAAACUUAGUGUUGGCAUCACCAUCUUUAAGCCAUAAAAUCCUUGGUCUCAUCCUAGCCAUAGAACGCUUCAAGGAGGACAGAAGCAAAGAAUGUUUCUUAAGCUUGUUUUCAGCCAAAACUCAGCAGGAGUUAACACCCUUUCAUCUUGUGCUAUUUCCAGCUUAUGUAAAACUUUCUUUGCCAAGGCCAACUGAGAUCUGAUGUGUCCAACUUGCCUAUCACUCCAAGCCUACAGACUCUUGGUUGUCUUCUUCAGCUUGCGAUGAAGGGUUUGAUAAGGACAGUUCGCAUAUCCAACUGACUCCCAAGCAGCUUGCACAGUAUCUUGAAAUCCCUCCCAACUUAGGCCAAAAAGCCUCAAAAUGAAAGUGUCGUCUCCCAGAUUCAUUGUCCCAACCAAAAUUAAGGGGCAAUGAUCAGAGUCAUGGGAAGCAAUGCUUUGAAGCAUCACAUUAGGGAAGAGCAGCUCCUAGUCAACCGAGCAUAGCACUUUGUCUAACCUGACAAGAAUAGGCUCCACUUGUUAAUUAGACCAAGUAAACCGCCGCACAUGGAGAGGAACUUCUUUGAGGGCAAGAUCAUUAAUAAAACACCUAAAACGCCCCAUCAUAGCCCUGUUGGGAUUGUUGUUCUUGUCUGAGGUUUUAUAAAUUAAGUUGAAAUCCCCAGCAACGACCCAAGGUCCAAUGCAGACCUCUCUGACACUUCUUAGCUCUUGCAGGAAUAAGAUCUUCUCUUCAUCCACUUGAGGACCAUACACACAAGUCAACCACCAGGUACCUCCUCCUUCUUGCUUAUGGAAUUGAAUGGAGACACUAUGAUUAUCAACUCCGCUCUCCCCUGUGCAUCUCAAAUGGUUUUUCCAAGCCACCAAGAUUCCCCCACUAGCCCCUUCUGAAGGCAAAAAAACAUAAUCAGAAAAAUCAGACCCCAACAUGGAGACUAUGGUGCUUCUAGGAACAGAUUGAAUCUUAGUUUCCUACAGACACACAAUCUCAGCCUUAACAGCAAGAACUAAUUCUCUAACUGUAUCUUGGCGUGCACAGGAAUUAAGGCCUCGCACGUUCCAAAUCAGAAUUUUGGAUGGAUCCAUUAAUAAAAGAGAAUGCAGCAACAACCAAACAUACAAACUGCUCCCAAAAGACUGCAGCACCCUUACUGAAGAGGGACAGACUCAGGGCACUCCACCCAAAAAGAGCUGAAAGAGCCUCCACCUCACUCUGAGUCAGGGGGCAUUUAAAUAGUCUAGCAUAUUCAUCCAAGGCCUCCUGACUAAUCCCCUCAUUCAUUGUAAUAAUAUACAAGGAUCUCAUGACUUUCCUGGUAGUUCUACCUCCCAGGUCUUGCAUAUCAAAUUCCACUCCAACACCCGGAACUCGGCGACUUCUUCUUGGCAUGGGAGCAGCAGGUGGGGAAGGUGAAGGUGUGGGAAACCCUGCCCUAGUAUAGGGUAGGGAUAUGAAUUAAUAGACCUGGUGUUGGGCCUGACCCAGUACAGAGGGGCGAAAGGGUAAAUACACAGGGAAGACCCCCAAACCCCUGAUACAAUGCUAACGCCCCCCCCCCCCCGGCAGUCACAACUCUAUCCUGUACAGAUGUUGAGACUGGACCAAAAGUCUAGGAAUACACUGCUCCCUCGACUACGACCUCCUCCUCCAACCAUCCUCAACGUCGGAGCUUGUGGUUUACACCAACGCUGACUGGGUCACGCGUCGGUCCACCUCCGGCUAUGCCGUUUUUCUGGGCGUAGGGAUGGCAACGGGAAAUUCCCCGUCGGGUUUUGGCUCCCCAUACCCGUCCCGACGACAAAAAAAAGUUCUCCGCGGGGAUCCCCACAAACUCUUGUGGGGGGCGUUUCUUCCCCAUCCCCGUCGGGGAUCCCCGUUCCCGCUUAAAUUAUAAUCAUGACAUGCUUUCUUUGUUAUUAACACAAAACAUUGUCACUUAUACACAUUGUCAUAUGUUAGAAAUCAUUAUGUGUACAUCAAAAUAAACAUAUUUGUACAACGAGUUAUCUCUCAACAAUAUAAUUAUUUAUUUUUAUCAUUAUAUAUAUUACAUGAAAACAUCAUCUAAUGGAGGAAUUCCGCGCGGGGAAGCGGGGAUCAGGGGAGGAUUUUUCCCCGUUUAUAUCCCCGCGGGGGGAGAACCUUCCCCAUCCCCAUCCACUAAUGGAGGAAUUCCCCGCGGAGAAUAGGGGAUCGGGGCCUCAUUGCCAUCUCUACCUAUGCGCCAACCUCGUCUCCUGGGCCACCAAGCGACAGCCCGUCAUCUCCUGCUCCAGCGCAGAGGCCGAGUACCGCGUUGUGGCCAACGGCGUGGCAGAGGCCUCCUGGAUGCGCCAACUCCUCCACGAGCUCCACAGCCCCCUUCAGCGCACCACCCUCGUCUACUGCGACAACAUCAGCGCCAUCUACCUCUCCACCAAUCCCGUGCAACAUCAGCGCACGAAGCAUGUGGAGAUCGACCUGCACUUCGUCCGGGAGCGAGUCGUUACAGGUGACGUUCGGGUCCUCAGCGUCCCACAACGUUGCAGCUCGCCGACAUCUUCACCAAGGGGCUGUCGUCGAGUGUACUCCUAGAUUUUCGGUCCAGUCUCAACAUCUGUACAGGAUAGAGUUGCGACUGCGGGGGUGUUAGAGUACCCGUUAAGGUUUUAGGUGUUUCCUGUGUAAUUACCCUCUCGCCCCUACUGUAAUGGGCCUGGCCCAACUACCGAGUCUAUUAAUACAACUCCCAACCCCACUCAGGGGUUAGGAUUUCCCACAAGAAACAAUUGAUCACUUGUUGGCCUGUUGUGUAUUUGCUAGGGAUUUUUUGUUACAACUGCUUAUAUAGAUCAAUCUCUAGCAGCUUGCACCGCAAAAUCAUGAUGGUAGCUUCAUGGAUUGGUGGUUACGGGCCAGGCAGGGACUGAAUUCCCUAAUUAUCCUUGGAGCGUAGACAAUAUGAAAGCACAUAAAUAGCAAUGUUUUUGAUAGGCAGGCUCCAAAUCUGAAUGUGGCUCUCAGAAAAGCUCAUCAAGAGAAAGAUGUAUGGGGCUAGCAGGGGCUAAGGAGCUCUCCCUUCUAACUGCCCCUAUUCCAGGUAUUUAGUUGAGUUUAGAUGGUUGAUCUAUUUUUUAUCUAGAUUCAUGGAUCCUUUUGUGUAUUGGUGUUUUUUGCCACCAUAAAGUGGUUGUAUCAGUUUGUAAUGUUUGGUUUGGUCCAGCGUGGACUCUUCUUUUCCUCUUAAUAUAAUGAUGUGCGAUUCUCUUGCGCGUUCGAGAAAAAAAAUUGUGCACCCAAGUUACCUGAGUUCUUGGGUCAGUGCCCCGAGCCUCGAUAUGAAUGGAUGAAAUAUCCUCAAACCAAGCAUAUAGAUGUUGUUUCAGCCACUAUGAAUCGAAUCCAAGAAUUAAAGGAUCAAGGCCUCACAGCUGUCCACGUGGCUGGUAACAGGAUUCAGCGUCGAGUCCCUCCUAUACGCGAGAAGGCAAAUUAUGCCUAGGAGUAUGGCGGGAACGAGGACCCUUCCAAAUCCAAGGCUGAGUCUAUUAACAUGUCGAAGGCCAAAGGCCAGCUUCCAUGACUAUUCACUUCGAUCAACAACUGGCCCAAGGGAUGUGCAAUGGAUGUUUAUUUCCUGCUCGAGCCUCGCCCUAAAGUAUCUUUGAUAGUUCCCUAGUUUAUAUCCUUCUUGAAAUUGUAAGUCGUGUUUUGGAGCAUUUUCCAUUCUUAUUUAGAUGUUGGAACAAUGUUAUCCUUCACAAAGCCCUUCCUGGACAAUGAAUAAUACCGAUGAGACGGACCCUAGUUGUUCCCCUGAACAAUCUGCUGGCCAAGCCCUCGAGCCUCAAGCUGACACCGCCAAUCCAAGCCCUCCUCCUUAGACCAGGAAAAGAAGAAUGGCUCAGAUUGAUGACUUUGAUGAUGAUUUGUCACCUCUUCCUGCUCUAAACCCCCGCCGAUCUAAACGAGGACGCUCUACCAUCCGUAGCGGCACACCCUCAACAUGAAGGGGAACAAUUCGGAGCAGACGACAACAGGUAAUCUCCCAUCGCUUCUGCAGCCGAGUCCAAAGUCCAUGAUGGCUCGAGGCCUUCAUUUAAACGGUUAACAAGGUAUGUCACCAAAUUAUCCAAUCUUUCCAUCAUAGUAAAAGAUGAGUAUAAUCCUUGAUCUAUCAGGAAAGCGACGGAACUGCCUCAAGACAAGACACAUCCCAAUCCUCAAGAAAAGAACUCCACCGCCAAUGUUCCUGUUGGUGCCAAGUGCACCAAAGCUCCUUGUGCCCCUAGUGAUUCUACUACUAUAGAGAAGCAAAUUGCGCCCAAAGUGGCAGGCAAGAUUAUUUCUAGCCAAGAGACGCCCAAUGUAGAAUCCACUGUCGCUCCUAUCAUGGAAAAGGCCUUUCCAUAUCUUGGAGUUAUCCUUGGAUAAUUCAUAAUCAAUGCAACCUUCUACAGACCCCAUAAUUGAGGUUUUGCGUGAUAUGAAGGAACCCAUCUCGAAGACUUCUUGGGAUGAGCUCUUCGUGAAAUUUUGAGAGCAUAUCAUAAGAUUAAUCUGACCGAAGACCAACGACAAUUCCAGAAAGCUCGUCAUCAUAUGGCCGAUGUUGGGGCCUUCUUCCUCCGAAGGUCCUCAAAAACGUGACUGACCAUAUGUUUUCAGUAUGACAUGGAUUAUUACAGGGGGCUUCAUCUUCGAGAUGAAGGUCUUCUCUCAUGACAGGGUGAAGAUGUAGCCCGAAUGUGAUAAGAAUGGACGACGAAGCUAUAGCCGAAGAGCUUCGGCUUGAUGUGAUGACGAAGACCAAGUAUGAUGAUGACCGAAAAGGGACAAAGACUACUCAGUCCUUAAUGAUUCGUGUUGUGAUUAUAGAUAAAUGUCAGGGGCAUAAAUGUACUUUUACUCGGGUUGUGUCAUGUGCCUAUAAAUAGAUGAACAGUAGCACCGUACUAUUCAUGUUGACUUGUAAUCACUCUCUUGCGUCCUUGAUGGAAUAAGUCUUGAGCAUCUAGAGGACAACAGUCGCUUUUGACUGUCCUCUGUAGUCCUUUAGCAUCUAGAGGACAGUUUGACUGUCCUCUGUAGUCUCUUUAGCAUCUAGAGGACAAUAGUCGCUUUUUUGACUGUCCUCUGUAGUCGCUUUAGCAUCUAGAGGACAACAGUCGCUUUUGACUGUCCUCUGUAGUCUCUUUAGCAUCUAGAGGACAAUCCUGUUGUGUAGUGUGUGUGAGAAGGUGUGGUAGUGUAGCCUCUAGGGCUAUAAAUAUGGGUCUCCAACCCUUAGAUGGGUAUGGCAUUGCGUAGUGUUUGAGGAAAUAAACAGAAAAUUGCCCCAACUCAUAGUGUCAUCCUCUUGAUGAGUUAGAGUCCCUCUAUUUACAAUUGGUAUCAGAGCCAAACUAUCCUGCAGCCUAAACAUCUCGUGCUCAUCUCCUUCCCGCGCCUUUCCCCACACUCAGUCGGCAGCAAGAGCUCCAACUGUUCCUUCCUCCCCUGCUCAAACGAGCAGCCUUUUGUCUGAAACAGCCUCUUCCACACGCAGCGACCCCUCACUAGCCCACCAUGUCCCUAUGCUCGGCCACUUCGAGUGCGCGGCGCCAGCAGGAGGCCGAGGUCGCCGCGGCGCAAGAACGCGAGCGAGCAGCAGCAGCGGCUGCAGCGACAGCGGCGAGGGCAGCACGGUUGGCGGCGGCGGAACUGGCAGCGGCGAGGGCGGAAGUAGAAGCAGCGGAGGCGGCGGACGCUGCACAUGCGGCGGCAGCAGAGCUCGAGGUUCUGCGCGGCAGUAGAGCUGGCAGCUCUGCUUCUGUCGACGACAACACCGACGAAGAGCUCAGGCUGGCGAGGGAAGCAGCGCGAGAGCAGGCGGCACAGUGGGCAGCCGCGCAUCCCCAUGGGGGCGCGCGUGGCGGCAACCCAGAUAGGCGCCGACGCGCUGACGGCGCUCCGGGCGAGGGCGCACACGGUGGCAGCCCUGAUGGGCAUAGACACGCCGGCGGUGCUCCCGGCGGCGGCGACCGAGUCGACGGAGAUCGCGGCCUCUACAGGCGGCGCGACUCUCCCUCCCCGGAUCGGUACCAUGGUCGCCGCAUGGCCCAGGCCAUUGUCAGGGACAUCGGUCCCGGCGGUGGGUGGCCUACCCUCACCAAGACCAACUACGUCGAGUGGGCCGCGGUGAUGAGGGUACGGCUCCAGGUUCGCCACAUGUGGGAAGCAGUUCGGUACGACGACGUCGACUACCACGAGGAUCGGCGGGCGCUGGAUGCCCUCAUUGCUGCAGUCCCGCCCGAGAUGCAGUUUUCGCUUUCCCAGAAGCGGACUGCCAAGGAGGCCUACGACGCCAUCGCUGCGACCCGCAUCGGCAGCGACCAUGCCCGCAAGACCACACUGCAGACACUUCGCAAGGAGUGGGAGAACCUGGCCUUCAAGCCAGGUGAGGAUGUUGAUGACUUUGCUCUCCGCCUCAACACUCAGCUGCAGAAGAUGGUGCAGUUCGGCGACGACACCUACGAUGAGGAGAGAGCUGUUGAGAAGCUCUUCCGUUGCAUCCCCGAGAAGUACAAGCAGAUUGCUCGCUCGAUGGAGUCUCUGCUAGACCUCUCCACGAUGACGAUCGAAGAGGCGAUAGGUCGUCUCAAGGUGGUCGACGGCGACGAACCACAGGCUCCCUCUGGGCCUAUCACUAUCGGCGGGAAGCUACAUCUCACUCGGGAGCAGUGGGAGGCCUGCCAGGGUGACAAGAAGAAGGGGGAGUCCUCCUCGACACGAGGCCGCAAACGCCGCAAGCAGCGCAAGGCGCGUGGAGGCGCCCAGGUCGGGGCGCGAGGACAUGCUGAGGGUGGUGCACGUGGAGGGGCCCAAGGCGGCGCCGUCGGCAACAAGAAGCCGGCACGAGACGACGGCUGCCACAACUGCGGCAAGCUUGGCCACUGGGCCAGGGAUUGUCGGCAGCCACGACGUGGCCAAGCCAACGUCGCACAGGCGGAGGCGGAGGAGGAGGCCCUGCUCCUGGCACAUGCAAGCAUCGAGCCAUCUCCAGCGGCACCGGCCGCAGCGGCACUCCUCCACCUUGAUGAGUCGAAAGCACGCGCUUUCCUCGGCGACGGCUCCAACAAGGACAUGAUCGAAGGAUGGUGCCUCGACACCAGCGCCACUCAUCACAUGACCGGUCGACGGGAGUUCUUCACCGAGCUUGACUCUAGCGUCCGAGGCUCCGUCAAGUUUGGGGACGCCUCCGGCGUAGAGAUCAAGGGCGUCGGCUCAGUCGUCUUCACCGCACGUAUGGUGAGUACAGGCUGCUCACCAGAGUCUACUACAUCCCCGCGUUGAGGAACUCUAUCAUCAGCUUGGGACAGCUGGAUGAGAACGGUUCGCGCGUGGAGGUCGAGCACGGAGUCAUGAGGAUCUGGGAUCCCUCUCAUCGCCUUCUUGCCAAGGUACACAGGAGUCCAAAUCGGCUAUACAUCCUCAAUGUGAAGGUGGCACAACCUUGCUGCCUUGCUGCUCGUCGAGACGACGGGGCAUGGCAGUGGCACGAGCGCUUCGGGCACCUUAACUUCGAGGCCCUGAAGCGGCUCAGCGCCAAGGAGAUGGUACGAGGCCUGCCGUGCCUUGACCAUGUGGAGCAAUUUUGUGAUGUCUGCGUGUUGACAAAGCAGAGACGGCUCCCUUUUCCCUAGCAGUCGAACUUCCGAGCCAAGGAGAGGCUCGAGCUCGUGCAUGGGGACUUGUGUGGCCCGGUGACACCAGCCACACAAGGAGGACGACGCUACUUCUUGCUGCUCGUCGACGAUCUCUCCCGCUACAUGUGGGUGAUGAUCCUUGGCAGCAAGGGACAGGCUGCGAACGCCAUCAGGCGUGUGUAGGUCGCUGCGGAGGCGGAGUGCGGCCGCAAGCUGCGCGUGCUGCGCACCGACAACGGCGGCGAAUUCACGGCGGCUGAGUUCGCGUUGUACUGCGCGGAUGAGGGCGUUCAGCGCCACUACUCCGCGCCAUACAGCCCGCAGCAGAACGGCGUCGUCGAGCGGCGCAACCAGACGGUUGUGAGGAUGGCUCGGGCUCUCCUCAAGCAGAGAGGAAUGCCAGCUGUCUUCUGGGGAGAGGCGGUGGUGACAGCGGUUUACAUCCUCAACCGCUCGCCCACCAAGGCUCUCAACGGGAUGACACCGUACGAGGCUUGGCAUGGGCACAAGCCGGCGGUCUCUCACCUACGGGUCUUCGGCUGCCUCGUAUUCACCAAGGAGCUUGGCCACAUCAGCAAGCUCGACGAUAGGAGCACCCCAGGGGUGUUCAUUGGCUACGCGGAGGGCUCGAAGGCCUACUGCAUCCUUGACCCAAGAACACAGCGUGUGCGCACGACGCGCGACGUAGUGUUCGACGAAGGGCGAGGAUGGGCGUGGGACAAGGCGGUGGACGACGGCGCGACUCCGACGUACGACUUCACCAUCGAGUACGUCCACUUUGAGGGAGCUGGGGGAGUAGGCAACUCUUCUCCGAGCAGGUCUACCCCAGCCCCCAAGCCUCCACCGACUCCAGCGCCAAACUCUCCAGCUCCUGCUACAACGAGCUCUUCACCACCACACACUCCAGCCACGACUCCGGCUACAGCGAGCUCUUCGCCACCACGUACUCCAGCACCGACGGUACCCUCUCCGGGAACGUCCUCUCUGACACUAGCUCGUGUCGAGCACGACCUAGUGGAGCUCGUGACCCCUCUGUCCCGCGACGAGUAGCGUGUCGACGCGUGCUACGACGGCGAGCCGUUGCGGUAUCAAGGGUGGAGGGCCUUCUCAUCGACCCGUCGGUGCCAGGCCCUGCAUCUCGCAUUCUGGCAGGAGAGUUGCAUCUUGCAUGCGACGAUGGUGAGCCUCGGUCUUUCGCGGAGGCCGAGAAACAUGCGACUUGGCGUGCCGCGAUGCAGUCGGAGAUGGACGCGGUUGAGACGAACCGCACCUGGGAGCUCGCUGAUCUCCCUCAUGGUCAUCGCGCGAUCACCCUUAAAUGGGUGUUCAAAUUGAAGAGGGAUGAAGCCGACGCCAUCAUCAAGCACAAGGCUCGCUUGGUGGCACGCGGUUUCCUACAGCAGGAGGGGAUCGACUUCGACGAUGCUUUCGCCCCCGUGGCACGGAUGGAAUCUGUGCGACUCCUCCUUGCGCUGUCAGCCCAGCAGGGCUGGCACGUUCAUCACAUGGACGUCAAGUCGGCGUUUCUUAACGGCGACUUAAAGGAGGAGGUCUACGUACACCAGCCGCCAGGUUUUGCGAUCCCUGGCAAGGAGGGCAAGGUGUUGCGCCUGCGCAAGGCUCUCUAUGGCCUGCGACAGGCACCGAGGGCGUGGAAUGCCAAGCUGGAUUCCACGCUCAAAGGAAUGGGGUUCACGCCAAGCCCGCACGAGGCGGCCAUCUAUCGGCGGGGCAAUGGAGGAAGUGCCCUGCUGGUGGGUGUCUACGUCGACGACUUGGUGAUCACCGGCGCCAAGGAUGCAGAGGUGGCAGCGUUCAAGGAAGAGAUGAAGGCCACCUUCCAAAUGAGUGACCUGGGGCAUCUCUCCUUCUACCUGGGGAUUGAGGUGCACCAGGGAGACUCCGGGAUCACACUUCGCCAGACCGCCUACGCCAAGCGCAUUGUUGAGCUGGCUGGGCUCACUGACUGCAACCCAGCUCUAACUCCGAUGGAGGAGAGGCUGAAGCUGAGUCGCGACAGCACGACGGAGGAGGUGGAUGCUACACAGUACCGGCGUCUUGUGGGGAGCCUUCGCUACCUCGUCCACACACGGCCUGACUUGGCAUACUCCGUCGGCUACGUUAGUCGGUUCUUGCAGCGACCGACGACGGAGCAUGAGCAGGCUGUGAAGAGGAUCAUCCGCUAUGUUGCGAGGACUCUCGACCACGGUCUCUACUACCCGAGGUGCCCUGGGGAGGCACACCUUGUCGGGUACAGCGACAGCGACCACGCCGGUGACAUCGACACUAGCAAGAGCACAAGCGGGAUCCUCUUCUUCCUCGGCAAGUGCCUCAUUAGCUGGCAGUCGGUCAAGCAGCAGGUGGUGGCCAUGUCCAGCUGCGAGGCCGAGUACAUAGCGGCGUCCACUGCUUCGACUCAGGCGCUCUGGCUGGCUCGACUGCUCGGUGAUCUCCUCGGGAGAGACACUGGAGCGGUGGAACUCAGCGUGGACAGCCAGUCCGCUCUGGCAUUGGCCAAGAACCCCGUGUUCCAUGAACGGAGCAAGCACAUCCGGCUGAGAUACCACUUCAUCCGAGACUGCUUGGCAGAAGGGAGCAUCAAGGCGCGUUACAUCAACACUAAGGAUCAGCUUGCAGACCUGCUCACCAAGCCCCUUGGGAAGAUCAAGUUUGUUGAGCUUUGCUCCAGGUCCGGGAUGGCCCAACUUUCUUACAAGACGACGCCCAAGACUUAGGGGGAGAAUGAUGGAAUAAGUCUUGAGCAUCUAGAGGACAACAGUCGCUUUUGACUGUCCUCUGUAGUCCUUUAGCAUCUAGAGGACAGCUUGACUGUCCUCUGUAGUCUCUUUAGCAUCUAGAGGACAACAGUCACUUUUUUGACUGUCCUCUGUAGUCGCUUUAGCAUCUAGAGGACAACAGUCGCUUUUGACUGUCCUCUGUAGUCUCUUUAGCAUCUAGAGGACAAUCCUGUUGUGUGGUGUGUGUGAGAAGGUGUGGUAGUGCAGCCUCUAGGGCUAUAAAUAUGGGUCUCCAACCCUUAGAUGGGUAUGGCAUUGUGUAGUGUUUGAGGAAAUAAACAGAAAAUUGUCUCAACUCAUAGUGUCAUCCUCUUGAUGAGAGUUAGAGUCCCUCUACUUACAGUCCUCACCUUCGAGCAAGCCGAAGGUAUCAAUGUAAUACGAAUUCUGUUAAUAUUCAUACAUGUUUUAUAGAAUGCAAAUAUGAACGAGUCAACAAGAUGCAGUUAUUGUCUUCAUUCUUAUGCGUUCUUAUUCAUAUAUUAAAUGAUGAAGGUAUGUCCUUAUUGACCUUCGUCUGAUAAGCAUUAUAUCAUGUGGAGAUAAUGCUUUGGAAGACGAAGGUCUGUAAUAAUUAACAAUUAUGUUGCCUUGUUCUUGACCUACAGCAUUUGAGAAUAAGUGAACAACAGUCGAGUUCUCUCAGCUGCAACAAGUAAAUUAGCAUGUCAACAUUUAUCUUGUGAAUUUCUGUUUUUGACAAUAUUGCCCUUCAACAGAUUUUGAAUGAAUUAGAGGAGAAGUCUCUUCUUCUGUUAAUCCAAAAGAAACUGCAAGCAACUGAGAUGACUCGGCAUAACCUUGAGCAAGAGAAGAAAUAUAGUUCUGAGCUUACACACACGUUCAAACGUUAUGUGAUCAGUUUGAGGCAACCACGAUCGAGUUGGAAAGUAUGUAGCUGAGCCUUUCGAUUUCUUCUGAGUCCUCUAUGUGUCUAAUAAUUGACUCCUUCUUAUAGCUUACAAGGCCAACAACAUUGUACUCAAAGUAGUAAAGGCUCUCCAAGUUGAAAGAUAAAACUUUAGACAUGAGGAAGUCAUUGACUACAUACAAAAACAACCUAGAUCAAGGCGGAGUCGCUGUCAAAGAUUUGACUGAGUUGGACUCGACCAACAAAGCCAAAGAUCUUGCCCUAGCAACCAUGGCAUGACCUCUCCAUAGUUCCCAUAAGCAACCAUGGCACGCACAGUUUCCGGCUAAGUUAGGUAUGACUAGGAUUAGGAGAUCCAAUCAAUUGUCUCCUUUCAUGGUUGUAAUAUAUGAUACAUACACACAGAGAGAGAGAGAGAGAGAGAUAGAGAUGCUAUUCGUCACUCUAGGUGAUGAUCACCCACCUUGGAGAAUGACUUAAACAAAUUUAAGUUAUUUGUGGUCUUUAUAAGUCAUUUUAGGGUAGGUGAUCAUCACCUAGGGUGACAAAUAGCACUGCUCUAUAUGUGUGUGUGCGCGCGCGCUCGCGCCGGUUAUUCAUUGCCUGAGAAUCUGAGAUAAGCUUUACGCUUUCAUUUAUUUGUGUAAUCCGACUUUAAGGUUUGAUGUCUAGUUUUACAAAGCAUAAUUGAUAUAACUUUCCCAUAUGGUAUAAAGAAACAAUUGAGAAGCACACAUACAUAUGGAAAACAUCACAUCUGGAUUUGAAUUGUCAAAUAAAAUUUCAGAAAGAGAAAAAUGUAAGAUGAAGAUACACUUACAUGUAUAAUGAGCACAGGACAUGUAACUUGAGGGAUUUUAUCAAUAUUCUAGAAGCAAAUAAACAAUAGAGAAUUGUCAGUGUAAAAUAGAGGUAGAGAAGGACAUGAGGUUGCUAUACUUCAGGUGCCUGAAUUUUUAGAAAUUUCUAGGCAACAAUCAUACACAGACAACUAGUACAACUAAAAGGACAACUCAUAAGAGACAGUUUACUUUUUUCUUCUAUAGCCAAACAAUGACAAAAUUGCAUGUCGCCUGAAUAACAAAAAAUCAGGCACCUGAGAUAUAGAAGCGGAUAACUCAAUAUUGAAUGCCGCAAUUAACAGAUGACGACAAACCUUGUAGAUGUCAAACCAAUAUGUGCGCUUCACAGGAUACAUAACUCUCAGCCCUGACAAUAUAGGACUAUGCAGGACAACAGCUCGCAGCUGAGAUAAACGACUGGCCAAAUCUACAGUAGGCCCACUUCCAACAGAUUGUCCAUAAAGAAUUAUUUCUUCUUCCUUGGCACCAAAUUUCUCUAUGAGGCACUUGUAAGCUGCCUCUAUGUCAGCAUAAGUAUUGUGUUCACUCGGCUAAAAUGGGACAGCGCAAACACUCAGCAAAGUAGACACUUAGUUUUGUUAUGAAAAAUAACAUUGUUCAACUUCAAGAUUUGAUCAUACCUUUCCUGAUGAUUGCCCAUAUCCUGAAUAGUCAUACCUGCAUAAUUUCAAAGCUACUAUUAGCCUCUGAUGACAGGAAAAUCAAGUAACAAGUUACAUAAGAUGUAUUGUUUACAAAGUAACAUAUUUUCCUCAAAUGCAUGAUGCAUUGAUUACAAUGUAAAACAUUUUUUCCCUCGAACACGCAGGAGAUAUGCAUGUCAUUACAUUAGAGAAGAAUGAAGAUUACAAACCCACACACAUACACCUAACACAAACCACUGCUAACAGCAACACACAUCACAAAACGAAAGAAUCGAUAACCAAAAUAUGUGCAGUGGGUUCCUAAAAUGGCAUCCAGAGGAUGCAGAACUGGUGAACCCUGGCAGCACACACCGCAAAAGCCCCUCCCUCCUCAUAAUAAUGCUCACGCUCAGAGUGGCGUAGUUGAACACUAGGUCAUUAAGAUGUUUCCAGUUUACCAAGCUACGAUGAUCAAACUGUUGGACCUUUUCCUGUAAGCCUUUCCAAUAAGAUUGGUCACGCAACAACACAAUCUGGAGAAAACAUCCCAUGUCCAACUGAAGCCACACAGCAACCCAAUUUUCUUGAAGAUGACAAACCACACUCGUUGAACCACCACACAAGAGACAGGCAAACACUGAAUUCAUUGGCUUCACCACAGAGGGAAGAGGAUGCUGGGUGAGCCAAGGCAAGCUAUGCUUGAAAACUUAUCCAUGGUCCAACAUCGAUUAAGCACAGCCAGCAUGUGCUCUUUAUCACAUACAAUCAUCA
This 77599-nucleotide long non-coding RNA is filed under the name Zea mays. RNAcentral describes it as "long non-coding RNA (ZMAY_LNC003661)". Lineage: Eukaryota; Viridiplantae; Streptophyta; Magnoliopsida; Poales; Poaceae. The record is from RNAcentral.